CAAGGAAAACCCAUUGGGACAAAACCUUGCAAGGGAAAAAGAGUAGAGCUCUCCAAAGCCUAGGGAUUGGCCAGUGAGCUCUUGUGCCUUAGAACCAAUAUGGUUGGACACAAGAAGCUCUGGAUCACGGCCUAAUAGAUGCAGCAACUCUUCACAGCUUUGCGCACACUUCACAUUUCAGCUUCACCUCUUCAUGGAACCGGUUUGAAGUCUCCCCCUCUCAACUGACUUCACAGCCAUCUUAGAGAAGCUAGGACACGACCAGAUCAUCUUCAAAACACCAGUGAGGCUGAUCAAUACUUCACACACGGCUUGCCCUCUUCAUAGAACUGGUUUGGAUCUCCCCCUCUCAACAGACUUCUCAGCCAUCUUAGAGAAGCUAGGAACUGACCAGGAACAUCUUUAGUGAGGCUCAAGCAAUGGUACCUGAUACAUUAUCCCAAAGGUGCAUCAGUACCUAUCAAAAAACAAGAAAAUGAAUAUCCUGCAUCACAUUUGAUGCAAACAAUCUCACAAUUCAAAAUGAAUAUCCUGCAUCACACUCGAUGCACACAAUCUCACAAUUCAAUCAUAAUCAUCUUAAGUAUCUUUUCAAGCACAAGUAAUGAAUAAGAUGAAUGAAAAAGAUUGAAAAGAGUUUUAAAAGUCUAAGGGAACUUCCCUUGUGUUUUUGUGAGUUUCCAAACUCGGCCAAUGCAUCAUCUUCAUGGCAUCAUCAACUUCUUGGAAAGGCAGAAUGGAUUCAUCAGCUUCUCCUCAAUCACCUCUCAUUGAAGCCGCAUUGAUGGAGAGCCUUCCUCCUCACUCGCCAAGGCUGCUCUGAACAGCCUCUUGCCUAGACACGCCACUGACUUGGUCCGGUUGAUGAUCCUUGUAGAAGCUUUUGCAAAAGACUUGUUACUGACCAUGGAUCAUAUGCAUUAAGACUCCCCCUCAAGCUUAGAACCGAGACUAGAAGGAGCUAAGCUUGUGAUGAUCCUAUGCAUCUCCAUGGUCUAAUAAUUAUCAUCUUUCAUGAUAGCUUUCUUCUUGUGAGUUUACUCUCUUCCUUAACCAGGAACUAGGGUGUUUGAAUCACCAUAGAGAGUCUCACAAGACACACCUCUCAUUGCAUAAUGACCCAUGCUACACUUCCUGUAGACUAAGGAUUAGAUAUGUCCAAUGGUAUUAUGCAAUGGCCAUCUCUCAUUGCAUACUCAAUCACACUACACUUCCUGUAGAUUAUGGACUAACAUGUCCUAGUGAUGAUAUGCAAUGGCACAAGACCUUUGUCUUUAUAUUCUUGGUUGUUGGUGAGUUACAUGUAUCCCAUUCCUUGUGUACCUAACACCACCACAACUCAAUGCAAGAUCAGAUCAUCCCAUUGGGAUCAAACCAAGAUUAUCUAUCCUGUUUGAUCACCAAUGCCACAAUAAUAUAUAAUACUUGAAACAAGCUAGACAAUCAUGCAAAGACAAUCAAUUCAGUUUUGUUUUUUUUUUUUUUUUUUAAAUGCAACAAUAGAUGACAGCAUUAGGUUACACACAAACUAUAUGAAUGAAACAGAUUCAAUCUAAAUGGAACACAAGUCUAGAUGAUACUUAUGCAAUCAAGGCAACAAGAGUGACUCAAUUCAUGCUUAUGCUCACUAGUUUUAUCAAAGCCAAUGAUUCAAAUAGCUUAGACAUACUUCUAAGUGCUUAUAAGACAUCACUGAUGGAUUUAACUAUGGCAUAGCAACAAUCAGAACUGGACUGAGUCAAGACAAGUAGAUUUCAAUCUCUAAUAAUGACAAUGCAAGUUCUAUUUUUAAGUUCUCUAAAUGCAAUGCAAGCUUAUCAGUACAUUUGAUAUUUAGGCUCAUUUUUAAAUGCAUUACUAUAUGAAUGCACAAUCUUAAAGCUUUAGCUAUGUGAAUGCAACAGGUUCAAUCCAUGAGCAAUAUUACGGCUAUGCACAACAGUUUCAAUCAAAACCAAUGAUGCAAACAACUUAGACAAUUUCUAAUUGAUGCAAGACUUUCAUUGAUGGAUUAAACAUAGACAAUAGCAUCAGAUAACAAUAGGAUUGAACUUAGACAGUAUGAGAUAUGCUUAUGUAUAUGACAUUUAGGAAUGUAAAAGAUUAUCUGAGUUUAGAAAGGAUUAAAGAAGGAGAAUAAGAGAUUAAGAGACAACUUAGAGACUAAUGGAGAAUCAUAGUGAAAUGAGUAAAGAGAAGGAUUGUUUAGAACUGUCUAAUCUUUAUUAAGGGAUGAGAUUACAUAUAUAUAGGUCCAUACACUUAGGGUUUUCGAAAUCAUAAAGCUAAGUAAGCAUGUAGAGUCAAAGAGGAGCCUAAGCUUUAAUUUGAACCGGCCAAUGAGUGUCUUCACACGUUUGGAGCAUCUUCUUGAUCCAAGACUAGAUGCUCUUCCUUUCCAGCUCUUGCCAGCCUGUCCUAGCUGUCAAGCCGCGUCUCCCUUAUCCUCUCAACGUUCGGAUAAGGUCUUGGCCGAGUGUAACUUAAGCUCAGUACAUGGGAGUAACUUGGAUAGUUACUUUGACCCCUUUUACCUUGUACGGAUGAUCACUUGUACGGCCUUGUACGGAUGAUCAACCCAUUCCUCCUCUUCACCUCUUUGCUCUCUUUAUGUUCUCAACUCCUUUGUGCCUUUACCUCAAAUGCCUCAACUCAUCUCAACACUCCCCCUCAAGCUUAGCUUUGUGAAAGCCUAAGCUUGGAUAGCUAUGAGAUCUUCCUCAUUAAAAACCUUACCAAGGAAAACCCAUUGGGAUAAAACCUUGAUAAGGGAAAAAGAGUAAAGACCUCACAGCCAAGGGGAUCAGCUCCUUCUCUUCCCAAGAUCAAUGAGGCCCAACCUGAUGUGAAUGGACUCCAUUGUCUUUUGUCUUGCAGCUUUGGUGAACACAUCAGCUAACUGAUCUUCACUUCUUGUGUAGCAUGGCAGGAUGACUCCUAAGAUGAUCAUCUGCCUCACCUUGUGACAAUCAACUUCAAUGUGCUUGGUUCUUUCAUGAAACACCGAGUUGGAGGCAAUGUGGAUGGCAGCUUGGUUAUCACAAUGCAUGGUCAUUGGAGUGGCUUGAUCAAUCUCCAAAUGCUUCAAGAUGCCUUUGAUCCACACCAGCUCGUUGGUAAGCUUCAGCAUAGCUCUAUACUCAGCUUCUGCACUUGAACAAGACACCACCUUCUGUUUCUUACUCUUCCAAGUAACCAAGUUGCCUCCAAUGAAUGUGCAAUAGCCUGUGGUUGAUCUCCUGUCUGCUCUAUCACCAGCCCAAUCCGCAUCACAGUAUCCAACCACUUCAGUGCUCCCAUUGCAGCCCAUCCAUACUCCUUGAUCAGGUGAGCCGUUGAGAUACAUCAAGAUCCUCUCCACCAUGCGCCAAUGAUGCUCCUUAGGCACUUGCAUGUGUUGACUCACCUGAUUCACAGCAAAACAAAUGUCAGGUCUAGUUAUGGUAAGAUAAAUCAAUUUGCCAACUAGUUUUCUAUAGAGUUUAGGAUCCUGAUAAGGUUUGCUGUCUUCAAUCUCCCCCUCUCGUGGGACUUUGUAACCAUCCUCCAUAGGCAUCCUUGCUGUCUUGCCUCCAUAAGCACCUGCACCUUUCAAAAGAUCAAGUGUAUAUUUCCUUUGGGACAUGAAUAAACCUUCCUUGGAUCUACAUAUCUCAAUUCCAAGAAAGUAUUUCAUUUCUCCCAAGUCUUUAAUCUCAAACAUGGAUUUAAGAAACUCCUUGGUUGCUAUGAUACCUUCCUUAUCACUUCCUGUGAUAAUGAUAUCAUCAACAUACACAAGGAGUGCAAUCAUACCUGAGGGAGUAGUGAGAGUGAAGAGGGUGUGAUCUAGUUCAGACUUCUUGAAGCCUCGGCCAUUGAGAGUAGUGCUCAGCUUGUUGUACCAAGCUCUUGGUGAUUGCUUCAGCCCAUAGAUAGCUUUCUUCAAUCUUAACACGUUCCCUCUCUUCACUAAGUGUUCCAGGCCUGGAGGUGGAUGCAUAUACACUUCAUCCUCAAGUUCUCCUUGUAGGAAUGCAUUCUUCACAUCCAUUUGCCAUAAGCCCCAUCCAAGGUUCACAGCCAAGCUCAAUACAAUCCGGAUUGUAUGUAGUUUAGCUACUGGUGCAAAGGUUUCUAUGUAAUCUUCUCCAUAAGUUUGAGUGAAACCUCUUGCAACCAGCCUUGACUUCUUCCUCUCAAUCUUUCCAUCUGCCUUAUACUUGAUUGUGAAUAUCCACCUACUAGUCACAGCCUUCUUCCCUUUUGGUAACUCACUCUCAUACCAUGUAUCAUUCUUGAUCAUAGCUCCUGCCUCAGCUCCAACUGACUCCUUCCAUUCUUUAUCCAUGAUUGCUUCUUCAUAGCUUCUUGGGAUGUAAGUCUCAUCCAAGUUAACCAUGAAGGCGCAAUGUUCUUCAGGGUAUUGAGCAAAUGAACACACGACUUGAGAAGGAUGCUCCACAGCUUGGGCAUUGUAGUACACUCGCGUGUUUACCCAAGAGGAAGGAUCCUUUCUCAGCCUUGUGCUUCUCCUCAAUACUGGUUGUUCUUGCUCUUGAACCGGCUCAUCUUGUGUAGUCGGUUCUUGUGCUUCACUCUGAUGUUCUUCCUCUCCUUGGUCUUGCUCACCUUGAUGAUGAGAACCUGAGUUGAACUCUCCUCCUUCCUCACUCAAGCCGACUCCUUCUUGGCCAUUUUCUUGAGUUUCAGGUUCACUUCCCCCCUCAUGAUCAAGGUGAGGUGUUUGAGCAGCUCCUCUUGGUGCAGUUGAGCUCUCUUCUUGUCUUCCACUUCUUGUGGAUUGGUCCUGGUUCAUCUUGAUACCGAGACCUUCCAAAAUGAUUCUUAAGACUCCAGCCUUAUCUGAUGUGAGAUCCUUCAAAUCUUCUUGAUUCUUCUCCUCAUAGUAUCCUCUUUCUUCAAUGAACUUCACAUCUCUAGAUACAAGCACCCUUCUAGCUUCUGGAUCAUAACACUUAUAUCCUUUUUGAGUUGUUGAGUAGCCAAUGAACAUUGCCUUUCUGCUUCUUGCUUCUAGCUUGUUCCUCAAUUCUCCUGGUACUAGAACAUAGCAUAAGCAUCCAAACACUCUCAUGUAUUCCAAGGAUGGCUUGCGCUUGUUCAGAACUUCAAAUGGUGCUUGAUCCUUCAACACCUUUGUAGGCAUCCUGUUGAUUAGAUAGCACGCAGUAGAUACAGCAUCACUCCAGAAUCUCUUAGGUACAUUAGCUUGGAACAUCAGUGACCGAGCCACUUCCAUCAAGUGCCUGUUCUUCCUCUCAGCUACACCAUUCUGUUGUGGUGUGUAGGGACAGCUUGUUUGAUGAAGGAUUCCAUGGUGAUCUAGAUGACUCUUGAACGCAUAGCUUGUGUACUCUCCUCCAUUAUCUGAUCUCAAAAUUUUAAUCCUAGCAUGGUAAUGGUUAGUCACAUAAGCUUGAAAGUUCUUGAAUGCAUCUAUCACCCUAUCUUUUGAUGGAAUGAGUGUUAACCAGGUGUAUUUAGAUUUUUCAUCAAUGAAUGUGACAAAAUACUUAUGAUUAUCUCUAGAAAAACUAGGUGCAGUCCACACAUCAGUAUGAAUCAAAUCAAAGCAGUUUUCAUAGACAGUAGAUGUUCUUGGAAACACAUUCUUACAAUGCUUGCCUAAAAUGCAAGCCUCACACUUAUUAUUUUCAAAAACCACACCUGGUAACAUCAAGUUUAAAGCCCUCUCAUGGGGAUGACCUAAUCUAGCAUGCCACAAUGCAUUUUUAUUUAAACUAGAAGCAGAAGUAAAUGAGCAGUUAUAAUUGGAAACAGGAUCAAGCUUCUCAAGCAUGUAUAAGUCUCCCUUUGUAACUCCUUUUACAAUCAAUUGGCUGCUCUCAAUAUCCUGAAACUUCACAUCAUUAGGACUGAAUAUAACAUUGCAAUUCAAAUCAGUAGUGCAUUUCUUAACUGAAAGAAGGUUUGAUGUGAAUUCCGGAAUAUAAAAAGCUCUAGUGUUCUUAUCAAAAAGUUUUAAGUUGCCUAUUCCCUUAAUAGGUAUCUUAUCUCCAUUUGCAAUCAUCACACAUCCAUUAGUAGGUUCUAUAUCUUUAAUCAGGUUGGUGUCACUAAUCAUAUGAUGAGAUGCACCUGAAUCUAUAAUCAAUGGUUUGGAUGUAUUGCUAGCACUAUGGCAGAUAAUUUGUGAUCUAUAUGCAUUCAUCCUAGCAUUUCUAUCAAUGCAAUGCUCAAUUCCAGUCUUACUAUCAAUCCUAGCAAUCUCAGCCACAUUAGGAUUCAUUUCUAUAGUUCUAGCAAUCAUAGAAGCACCAAAUGAAUACCCAUGAAUGUUACCAUUAUCCUUGAGCAUUUUGAUGAGUGCAUCCAUCUCGGAUCUCCUGAUGAAGUCUUGAUCAUUGCCUCGGGGGUUGAUAGCUCCAGUGUAGGUCACCAAAGCUUUUCCAUCUCCUUCACGAUUCUCCCCUUCAGCUCCACGGUUGGAUGGCCCUGCUCCGCUUGAUCCUUCAGUCAUGUGAGCUUUUGCCUCUCUCUCCUUCAUGAACUUAGCCGGCUUCAAGUGGGGAUGGAGUAUCCAGCACUGACUCUUCUUGUGUCCAUGCUUCUUGCAGUGAUCACAAUUCCCAUUGAACUUCCUAUCCUCAUACUUGUUGUAACCAGCUUUGUUGGCUUGUGGAGGCUCUUCCCGGUCAGGUUGCACAGCAUUUGCAAGAGAUAAGUCUCCCUUGCCUCCAAACAAACCCAUUGAGCCCUGCUCCUUCUGUAUCUUAGCGCACACCUCUUCAAGGUCAGGCAGCUUCUCAGACCAUAGCAUGUGCUGGAUAAGACCACUGUAGCUUGCAUUCAACGUGAGCAGCAACCCAAAGACCUUGUCCUGCUCGCGUCUCUCAUUUAGAAGCUCUGGAUCAACCGUGCUUGGCCUCAGCAUCUCCAACUCAGACCAAAGAGACCUGAACCUCCCCAAGUGCUUAGUGAACUCCGUGUCAUCUUGAGUUAACCCAUUGAUUGCCUUCUUGACUUCAAACACUCGGUUCAGGUUAGAAGUGUUUCCAUACACUUUCUGUAGAGUAUCCCACAGCUCCUUGGCUGUCUCACAGUAGCUAUAAGCAUCUAGUAUAGCCGGCUCCAAAGAGGCAUGAAGGACUGACAUCACCAUCAUGUCUUCUUGUUGCCACUUCUCUACAACACUCUCCUCGGGACUCUCCGUUUCAUCCCCUUGAGUAAUCACCUUUGGAGCCUCACCAGAUGUGAUAUGCUUCCACAAACCCUUGCUUCCCACAGCAGUCUUCACCAUCCUAGACCAGACUAGGUAGUUGGUUCCUUGAAUGUCACCGCGACCUUCAUCUUCAUGCCACUCUCCAUCUUGAACAGCUUGACGUCUCUAGCUUGAACAACCGGUUAGAUCUUGUACUGAGAACCCACGCUGCUCUCUAGAACACAGAUUCACUCUUGAGUCUUCAAAUGAACCUCCACGGACCACCAAGACACACACAAACACCUUGAGCUUUUGAACUCUCAAGAAACUCUCAAACACACUCACUUGUUCUCUUAAAGUUUCAAACUUGAAUCCUUAAGAGAAACACUCACGAACUCAGAUUGUAAUCAACCUGGCUCUGAUACCAUAUGACUUUAGGAAUGUAAAGAUUAUCUGAGUUUAGAAAGGAUUAAAGAAGGAGAAUAAGAGAUUAAGAGACAACUUAGAGACUAAUGGAGAAUCAUAGUGAAAUGAGUAAAGAGAAGGAUUGUUUAGAACUGUCUAAUCUUUAUUAAGGGAUGAGAUUACAUAUAUAUAGGUCCAUACACUUAGGGUUUUCGAAAUCAUAAAGCUAAGUAAGCAUGUAGAGUCAAAGAGGAGCCUAAGCUUUAAUUUGAACCGGCCAAUGAGUGUCUUCACACGUUUGGAGCAUCUUCUUGAUCCAAGACUAGAUGCUCUUCCUUUCCAGCUCUUGCCAGCCUGUCCUAGCUGUCAAGCCGCGUCUCCCUUAUCCUCUCAACGUUCGGAUAAGGUCUUGGCCGAGUGUAACUUAAGCUCAGUACAUGGGAGUAACUUGGAUAGUUACUUUGACCCCUUUUACCUUGUACGGAUGAUCACUUGUACGGCCUUGUACGGAUGAUCAACCCAUUCCUCCUCUUCACCUCUUUGCUCUCUUUAUGUUCUCAACUCCUUUGUGCCUUUACCUCAAAUGCCUCAACUCAUCUCAACAAUGUAUGCAAAAUAACUUAUCAAUCAUGAUGCAAGCAGCAGAGACAUUCUACUCAAUUCUACAACACAUUCAUGAUGAUUCAAGCUAUGACAACCCUCAAGACAAUGCAAUAAACAGAACAUGAGAUUCUGGGACUCUAGACAUUACUUACUCUCAAUAUGACAAUGCAACAGCAAAACAAUUUCAGUGCAAUUAGCCUAGACAUUCUACUAGAAGCUAUAAACUCUUAAUGGAAUUAGGGAAAGCACAUAGUAUAAUCAGGAGAUAAACCUAUUAAGACAUAUUAAGAUAGAUGAGAUUAGGUUUACUCCCUUGGUUAAGAUGAUGAGGAGUGGUUCUCAAAGUUACCACUUGAAUUCUUACUUCUUCUUCUUCUCUUAUUGCAAUCACCCUUCUGAAUUCACCACCAUGAUGGAAUGCUUGUGGAUGCUUCAGCUACUUCUUCAAUCACCUCACAAUAGAAGCCGCCUUGAUAGAGUAGCCUUCUUCUUCACAUAGCCAAGAGUGCUCUGUCUUAGUUUGAGCACCCUCUUGAAUAGGCACGCCACUGCCUAGACCCGGUUGGCUUCUUCUUCAGUUACUUGCAAUGGUAGUAGGAAGACCAGUGAGCUUCAAGUGGGUUUUACAACCAUCUGCGCUUCACCCUUCUUGUAGUAACUCUCCAUUGCACACACACUGGACACCAUUCUUUCUCUUUAGACUCGGAUUAGAUGAUGAACUAGGAACACCUUUUGUGAACCUGAAACAUCACUCAAACUCUAGCCAAGAUAAGACACAAUUUCAUUGGGAUCAAUCCUUGACUUCAUCAAGUUUGAUCACCAAUGUCUCAAGCUUUAUAACAUUAGAUAGAAUCAAGACAAUGUCAAAUUCUUAUCUAUGCAAGCAACCAUUCUCUAAAUACUAAGCAAGACCUUAUCAGAUUCAAUGUCAAAGUAUUUAGGCAAUUUUAAUCACUCCUCAAUAUGCAACUUAGACUUUAAUCUAAAUGCAACAAUACAAGGCAGCAACAAGGCAGUAUGCAUUAAUCUUAAUCAGUUUCUAACUCAUGAAAGCAAGCAUGAAUAGAUAAUAUAAUCUAUCAUCUUACAAGACAAGAUAAUUUAGAACUGACAUUAUGCAUUUAACCAUUUUCAAUAGUAUUGAUGUCAAAUCUUGAUUAAUAAAUCAUCAAGUUUGAUUCCCAAUAUCACAAGCAAUGCAACAGAUAGACACAAGGCAUUAUCAAGUUCUAUUCUUUGCAAGCUAAAUCUCUAAGUACAAGCAAGAUCCUAACAGAUUCAAGACAAGUUACUUAGGCACUCUUAAGAGCUUCUUUACUCAGCACUUAGACAUGAAUCUAAUGCUUCAAUGUAAGACAGCCCCAAGACUAUAUGCAACAGCUUUAAAUUCGGUUUCACUCCAUGUAUGCAAGCAGAUUUAUAAUCAUAACAAGCAUUACUAUGAACCGGAGCUAAGCAUAUUAAACAAUUUCAAUACCCAAACAAGACUCUUAAAGCAUCCUGGGACAGAUUCUAAAGCUACUUCAUUUUAGCAAUCUUUUAAACAAUCCUCAGGUUUCCAAUGACAUCACAACAUCACAAUCAGUCAACAACACAAGCUCAUUAUCAAGAUGGUUUAUAGAAUCGCUUACAACAAGGAACCAGGUUGAUUCCUUUUGCAUUUUAUGACACAGCCUUGGCUUUUGUUGUAUCUGAGAGUCUAGCUUGUCACCCAUCUCUCUCUCUUCCAGUACAUAGCCACCAUCUUGUACCAACAACUCAAAAGACCCCUCCUUUCUUUAUUCAUCAACCCGCCAACAGCUAUGGAUCUUCAUUUCUUGUAACCGGAUAGAUGAGAGUUUCUUCAAGGACAAGUACAAGGAGUUUUGACUUGAAGACAUCUAGGCCUCUUCAUCCUCCUUUGCUUCCAUCAACCUCUUCAUCAGGUACUGGUAUGGCUGGCUGAAGGACGGGAUGAGGUAACAAUAGACUCGCCAAGCUUCAGCCUUUCUUCUUCACAAGAAACUGAACGGAUGGGGAGUUCUUCAAGGGUUUGGAUUUUGAGCUGAGGUGAGAGCAAGUGAUUUGCAGAAGCUACAGCUCAGGUUCUGAUGAACCUGGCUCUGAUACCAUAUGAUUUUUAUAGAGAUCUUUACUCUGAUUGUAUGUGUGUGUGUAUAAACUCAAAUAGAGAAAGAUUAGAGCUUGUUCUAGGUAAUUUAGAAAGAGGAAUUAAUGAGAGUGUAUAAAAAGACUUAGGAACAAAGAUUCAGAGACUAGAGAGACUGAGAGAAUAAGAGACUAGAGAUUGGUGUUUAGAUUCAAGAACAAGACUUAGUUUCAUGAAGGAGAAGGGAAACCCCCUUACUCACUUAACCUGUUUACAAACGACCAUGCUAAGCUUUUAUAUGAGCUUUACAACUUGUAUUCCUUUGGAAACCCUAACAUGAGAGAUAAGAUAAGAAGGGUGGAGAUCUUCUGGUUUGAAUUGGAUGAUGUAGAUUAAGUCUUGGUGCUUUACAAUCUCCUUGUAUGCGCAUGAUUGGAGGAUGAGAGGAACGGCUAGUAACACUCCACACUUGCCUCAUGUAUCUGUCCAUCUAACUGUCCAGAUACAUAGUCAGCUGUGUCUCUUCCUUUACAGCUCACGCCAGCCUGUCUUUGACCAUCCUACUCCAAUUAGAAUCAGGCGCCAACUCCAUUUGAACUCACACAGCACACAGCAUCUUCUUGAUGCUCUUUUGAUGCUUAUCUUUAACCCAGACUUUGUACUCUUAUCUUGGGACGUUCCAUGGCUGUACGGUCAUGUCACUGCCGUACACCAACGCCCUAUCUUUGCACCAUCAUCCAUCAACUCCCAAACUCCUCCAAAGUUCUCCCAACUCUGAUUCUAUUCCUUCUAAAUCAUUAUCUCUUCUUUAUAUCAGCUUCUCAUCACUUCUGAAACUUGAUUGAACUCUUCUGGAUAUCUUCUAGAGCUUGCCCUAUUAUUGUACAAGCUCUAUCUUCUCUUCAGUUCAACAGCAACGACCACUCCUCAUCACCUUAAACAAGGGAGUAAACCUAGUCUCAUCUAUCUUAAUAUGUCUUGAUAGGUUUAUCUCCUGAUUAUACUAUGUGCUUUUCCUAAUUCCAUUAAGAGUUUAUAGCUUCUAAGUAGAAUGUCUAGGCUAAUUGCACUGAGAUUGUUUUGCUGCUGCAUUGUCUUAUGGAUAGUAAGUAAUGUCUAGAGUCCCAGAAUCUCAUGUUCUGUUUAUUGCAUUGUCUUGAGUAUUGUCAUAGCUUGAAUCUUCAUGAAUGUGUUGUAGAAUUGAGUAGAAUGUCUCUGCUGCUUGCAUCAUGAUUGAUAAGUUAUUUUGCAUACUUAGCAUAUCUCAUACUGUCUAAGUUCAAUCCUAGUGUUAUCUGAUGCUAUUGCCUAUGUUUAAUCCAUCAAUGAAAGUCUUGCAUCAAUUAGAAAUUGUCUAAGUUGCUUGCAUCAUUGGUUCUGAUUGAAACUGUUGUGCAGAGCUUUAAUAUUACUCAUGGAUUGAACCUGUUGCAUUCAUAUAGCUAAUGCUUUAAGAUUGUGCAUUCAUGUAGUAAUGCAUUUAAAAAUGAGCCUAAAUUGCAAAUGUACUGAUAUAAGCUUUGCAUUUAGAGAACUGUAUAGAACUUGCAUUGUCAUUGUUAGAAAUUGAAAUCUGCUUGUCUUGACUCAGUCCAGUUCUGAUUGUUGCUAUGCCAUAGUUAAAUCCAUCAGUGAUGUAUUAUAAGCAAAUAGUAGUAUGUCUAAGCUACUUGAAUCAUUGGCUUUGAUAAAACUAGUGAGCAUAAGCAUGAAUUGAGUCACUCUUGUCGUCUUGAUUGCAUAAGUAUCAUCUAGACUUGUGUUCCAUUUGGAUUGAAUCUGUUUCAUUCAUAUAGUUAGUGUGUAACCUAAUGCAUUCAUCUAUUGUUGCAUUUAAAAAAAAAAGAAGAAAACAAAACUGAAUUGAUUGUCUUUGCUUGAUUGUCUUGAUUGUCUAGCUUGUCUCAAGUAUCCUAUAUUAUUGUGGCAUUGGUGAUCAAACAGGAUGGAUAAUCUUGGUUUGAUCCCAAUGGGAUGAUCUGAUCUUGCAUUGAGUUGUGGUGGUGUUAGGUACACAAGGAAUGUGAUACAUGAAACUCGCCAACAACCAAGAAUGUAAAGACAAAGAUCUUGUGCCAUUGCAUAUCAUCACUAGGACAUGUUAGUCCAUAAUCUACAGGAAGUGUAGUGUGAUUGAGUAUGCAAUGAGAGAUGGCCAUUGCAUAAUACCAUUGGACAUAUCUAGUCCUUAGUCUACAGGAAGUGUAGCAUGGGUCAUUAUGCAAUGAGAGGCGUGUCUUGUGAGACUCUCUAUGGUGAUUCAAACACCCUAAUUCCUGGUUAAGGAAGAGAGAAAACUCACAAGAAGAAAGCUAUCAUAAAAGAUGAUAGUUAUUAGACCAUGGAGAUGCAUAGGAUCAUCACAAGCUUAGCUCCUUCUAGUCUUGGUUCUAAGCUUGAGGGGGAGUCUUAAUGCAUAUGAUCCAUGGUCAGUAACAAGUCUUUGCAAAGGCUUCUACAAGGAUCAUCAACCGGACCAAGAUAGUGGCGUGUCUAGGCAAGAGGCUGUUCAGAGCAGUCUUGGUGAGUGAAGAAGAACGCUCUCCAUCAAUGCGGCUUCAAUGAGAGGUGAUUGAGGAGAAGCUGAUGAAUCCAUUCUGCCUUUCCAAGAAGUUGGUGAUGCCAUGAAGAUGGUGCAUUGGCCGAGUUAGGAAACUCACAAAAACACAAGGGAAGUUCCCUUAGACUUUUAAAACCUUUUUAUUCAUCUUAUUCAUUGCUUGUGCUUGAAAAGAUACGUAAAAUGAUUAUGAUUGAAUUGUGAGAUUGUGUGCAUCAAGUGUGAUGCAGGAUAUUCAUUUUCUUGUUUUUGAUAGGUACCAUUGCUUGAGCCUCACUAAAGGUGUUCCUGGUCAUUUCUAGCUUCUCUAAGGUGGCUGUGAAGUCUGUUGAGAGGGGGAGAUUCAAACCAGUUCUAUGAAGAGGGAAAGCCGUGUGUGAAGUGUUGAUCAACCUCACUGGUGUUUUGAAGAUGAUCUGGUCGUGUCCUAGCUUCUCUAAGAUGGCUGAGAAGUCAGUUGAGAGGGGGAGACUUCAAACCGGUUCCAUGAAGAGGUGAAGCUGAAGUGUGAAGUGUGCGCAAAGCUGUGAAGAGUUGCUGCACCUAUUAGGCCGUGAUCCAGAGCUUCUUGUGUCCAACCACACUGGUUCUAAGGCACAAGAGCUCACUGGCCAAUCCCUAGGCUUUGGAGAGCUCUACUCUUUUUCCCUUGCAAGGUUUUGUCCCAAUGGGUUUUCCUUGUAAGGUUUUUAAUGAGGGAGACUCUUCAGAGUUCCAAGCUUGGCUUAGGAUCUCCUAAAGUCAAGCUUGAGGGGGAGUGUUGAACUGAAGAGAAGAUGGAGCUUGUACAAUGAUAGGGCAAGCUCUAGAAGAUGUCUAGAAGAGUUCAAUCAAGCUUCAGAAGUGUUCUGAAGAAGUUAUCUUGUGAAGAUAAGUCUAGGAAAGACUUAGACUGAUCAUGUGAGGGCUUUGAAGGAGUUAGAGAGAAGAUGGAAGUGUGGUGCAAAGAUAGGGCCAAGUCCAGGAGGGACUUAGAAGAGUAUUUGGGCCAGUGUGCAAACUUAGGGACUGGCUGUACGGAUUUGGUACGGACGUUGUACGGACCGUACGGAUCCGUACGGACCGAGACAUCCCGAAAGUUCACCAGUCAACCAUUUGAGCACAUUUGAAGUUGGUGCAAAAAUAGGGCACUGGUGAAACUCUUAAGAGAAGAAGACAAAGGAGAGGCUGGCGAGUGACAGGCUGGAAAGGAGAGUCUCUUGCUGUAAAGUAAAAGCAAAAGGAGACCAUGUAUCUAGCAAAAGAAGUGGGCAGAUUCAUGGGAGCCUUUAGCUAGCCAAUAAGGAGCCAGCCUUCCCUUGACCAGAUUCAAAUGGACCAAUUAUCCAUCAGGAACAGCACAGCCACGACCAAGACCAUCUCUCCAUCUCAUCCAUUCAUUUAAAUUCAAGUUAUAACAGCCCUUAGAUUUAGGUUUAUGAUUGCAAGUUGUAAAGAGCAUAUAUAAGCUCAUAAGUGAUGUUUUGUAACUCUUAAGUGAGUAAGGGGGUUUCCCUUCUCCUUCUCUAAUCUGAAACACUUUCUUAGUCUCUCUAGUCUCUCAUCCUGAAUCUCUUUACACGUUCUCAGUCUUGUUACUAAUCUCUUAAACACUUAGACACACAAACACUCAUCAAACUUCAUUUCUCUCAAAUCGCUUCCAAGCUCUCUCUCUUUACCCAUUUGGGUUUCAUACACACAUACAACCUGAGUACUCUUAAAUCUCAUAGUUCAAGCUGUAGACGUCAAGCUGUUCAGAAUGGAGAGUGGCAUGAAGAUGAAGGUCGCGGUGACAUUCAAGGGGAGCAACUACCUAGUCUGGUCUAGGAUGGUGAAGACUGCUGUGGGAAGCAAGGGUCUGUGGAAGCAUAUCACAUCUGGUGAGGCUCCAAUGGCGAUUACCCAAGGAAGUGAUAAGGAGAGCCCCACGGAGAGUGAUGUUGAGAAGUGGCAACAAGAAGACAUGAUGGUAAUGACAGUACUUCAUGCUUCAUUGGAGCCAGCUAUCUAUUGAGAUGAAGACCAAGGAGAGACAGUAACUUUAGAGUUUUACUGUGGUAACUUUAUUUUAACCACAGUAACUACUUGGAAAGUUAUCUGAUGAGAUGAGAAGGUAACUUAGUGAAGAGAAGAAGGUAAACUCGACCAAAGAGGAUAAGGAAGGAUAAGGGAGCACUUUGACAGCCUGUAUGAUGCUGGAAAGGAGAGGAUGCUUUUACACUAGUGCAAGCAUGUGAGAAAGCACAGCCAAGUGAUUCAAAAGGAGUUCCAGCCUGUCCUUUGACUACACAUGCUUAUACAUUUCGAAAUUCCUUGUUGCUCUCUCUUUAUAUACUUGUAAACCCUCAUCAAUUAUUAAUUAAUGGAGUUUUGAGUCUCUCUCUCUUUAUUCUCUCUCUAAUCUCUUAAUCUCUUUAAUCUUCUCAUCUGAUUAUCCCUGAUUAGUUGAAUCAUGCUCUAAUACACAAAAGUGUAUAUGGUAUCAGAGCCAGGUUACGCAAAGUGGGAGAGUGUGAUUCCUUUUUCUUAAAAAUCUUGAGUGUUCUUGAGUGUUCUUGGUGUUCUUAACUUCUGGGUUUCAUUAUCUUGGUGGCGUGAGAGGUUCUGGUGAAUCCAAAUCAUCUCAACAUGGAUAUGGAGCACAGACCUGAGUCAACUGUGAAGACUGAAGAGGAGAGGCAUGGCGAGUGGUCAAGGUGGGCCAAAAGAGCUUUGGAAAGCUGUGGGUUAUGGAGUAGUCAUGGAAAGGGGAAACCUUUCAUGGAAAUGGCUACUGAAGAAGGCCAGACAAGAGGUCUGAAGCUGGGAAAUGAAGUUGUUCAAGGAAACACUACAAAGAGUGAGAUUGAAGCAACUUUAGGCAAGUCCAAGCUUGUAAGAGCCAUUGAGGACAGAGGGGUGAUCCGCGGCUUGAGACAAGGAAAGGAUGAGUGUUAUCAGCUUGUGGGAAGGCUGAGAGAAGUAUGGUCAGAGUUAGAUGUGGUGAAGGCACACACAUCAAAUCCGAGAUGUUGUCAAGAAAGGAGGAAGCAAGAUGUGAUCUUCAGCUUUCUUAUGGAAGAGGUAUGUGAGCUUGUUAAAUAUACUUGUGAUGUGUGGGAAAUGAACAGGAAGCCAGAAAGAUGGAAGAGAGGUACAAGCUGUAAGAAGGGAAGGUUGAGAAAACUUUCUAAGGAGUGGUUAAUGAAGAGAAGGGCAUGGAGAAAGGAUAGCGAGUCUGAACACUUAAGUGACAGGAUGAGUGUGAUCUUGAAGAGAAUCAAGGAUGUACUUCAGCAGAUGGUUAUAGGAGAGUGUUCAUACUCAGCUUACAUGGGAGAAACAGUAGGAGACAGUGCGGGUAUGAGAGGAAUGGAUACCAAGAGGGCAGAUGAGUGUGUGACAAAGAAGGAAUGGGAUGAGUUGGUUAAGCAUGUGUAUGCUUUGGCUACGACCCGGAGUCUGGGUGCUCCUGCCAAAGCAUCCACAUCUAAACCCAUCAUCAUUGACUCUGGAGCAACACACCACAUGAUCAGUGACAAGAGACUAAUCAGUGAGGUUAAAGCAGCAACAGGGAGUGUCAUGAUAGCCAAUGGUACCAGGAUCCCAAUAGAAGGAGUGGGAAACCUCAAGCUGUUUGAGAAGAACUCCACUGCCUUCUACCUACCUCAGUUUACAUCCAAUCUAAUCUCAGUUAAGAAGGCUACAGUUGAUCUGGAUUGUCAAGUGGUUUUCAGACCAAAUGAAGUUGAGUUCCAGGAUUUGAAGACUGGAAGGGUUAUUGGCAGAGGAGACAGCAAGCAUCAGCUCUAUCAUCUCCAAACAACUGAGGCGCCUAGUCCUGUGGAGUCUGUGUGUUUAAGCAGCACAACGGAUAGGUGUGAUAAUCUCACAUGGCAUGCAAGGCUGGGACAUCCUCAUGCCAAGGCAAUUGAACUGAUUCUACCAAGUAUGGCGUUCAAUCACUUGGAGUGUGAAGCUUGUAUACUUGGAAAGCACUGUAGGACUGUCUUCCCAACAUCAGAAACCAGAUAUGAGAAUUGCUUUGAUCUGGUGCAUUCAGACGUGUGGACAGCUCCCUGUAUGUCUAGAGACAGCCAUAAGUACUUUGUGACUUUCAUUGAUGAGAAGUCAAAGUACACAUGGAUCACCAUGAUUCCCUCCAAAGACAGAGUCCUAGAAGCCUUCAUGAACUUCCAAGCAUAUGUUACUAAUCAGUACAAUGCCACUGUGAAGAUUCUGAGGUCUGAUAAUGGAGGAGAAUACACUAGCAAUGCUUUCAAGAGUCAUCUUGCAAAGCAUGGGAUUGUGCAACAAACUAGCUGUCCUUACACACCACAACAAAAUGGGGUGGCUGAGAGGAAGAACAGACAUUUGAUGGAGGUUGCGAGAUCAAUAAUGUUCCACAUGAAUGUCCCUAAGAGGUUUUGGAGUGAUGCUGUUCAGACUGCUUGCUAUCUCAUCAAUAGAGUGCCAACCCGUGUCUUGAAGAAACUGUCUCCCUUUGAAGUACUGAACAAGACCAAGCCACACAUUGAUCAUUUGAGAGUCUUUGGGUGCUUAUGUUAUGUGAUGAUUCCCGGAGAAAGAAGGAACAAGCUAGACGCAAAGAGUACUAAAGCUAUGUUCAUUGGGUACUCAAUCACUCAGAAAGGCUACAAAUGUUAUGAUCCAAUAACUAGGAGGGUUAUGGUAUCUAGAGAAGUGAAGUUUGUUGAGUCUAAAGGGUAUUAUGAGGAGAAGAAAUGGGAAGACCUAGAGGAUCUGUCCAGAGCUCCAUCAGAGAAGGAAACAACAUUGAGAGUGUUGUUGGAGAGGCUAGGGAUAGGAUUAUCCCAAGAUCAGGAACCAGGAAGAACAGGACCUUCUAAUCAAGCUGGAGAAGCUGGAGGAACAACCCCUCUUGAUCAUGAGAGGGGGAAUGGAUCUGAAUCAGGGGAGCAGGAGCAUAACCAAGAGGAUUCAGGUCAGCAUGAUCAGGAGGAGACACAGGAAGUAGAGAGUGAAGCUCAGUCAGGUGGAAAUGAGCAGGGAGAACCUACUGGUUUAAGAGAGGAAGCACAAGAGAAUGUUCAGGCUGAAGAACAGGUUGAGACCUUGCGGAGGAGCACAAGGAUAAGGAGGGAUCCUUCCAACUGGGUAAACACGAGAGUGUACUACAAUGCCCAGGCUGUGGAGCAUCCCUCUCAAGCCGUGUGUUCCUUUGCUGAGUUUCCAGAAGAGCACAUGGUGUUUAUGUGUAACUUGGAUGAGAAUGAGAUACCAAGAUCUUAUGAAGAAGCUAUGAAGCACAAGGUUUAGAGAGAUUCAGUAGGAGAUGAAAGGGAUGCAAUGAUCAGGAAUGAUACUUGGUAUGAGAUUGAGUUACCUAAAGGGAAGAAGGCAGUUUCAAGCAGAUGGAUCUUCACCAUCAAGUACCUUGCAAAUGGGGAGAUAGAUAGGCGCAAGACUAGGCUGGUUGCAAGAGGAUUUACACAGACUUAUGGGGAAGAUUACAUUGAUACUUUUGCACCAGUGGCCAAGCUUCACACAAUUCGAAUUGUGUUAUCUAUUGCAACAAACUUGGAGUGGGAUUUGUGGCAAAUGGAUGUGAAGAAUGCUUUCUUGCAAGGUGAACUUGAAGAUGAAGUAUACAUGCAUCCACCUCCUGGUCUUGAGCAUCUAGUAAAGCCAGGGAAUGUUUUGAGAUUGAAGAAAGCAAUAUAUGGGUUGAAACAGUCACCUAGAGCUUGUUACAGGAAGCUGAGUACAACACUCAAUGGGAGAGGCUUUAGGAAGUCUGAACUAGAUCACACUCUCUUCACCUUGACAGGACCUUCAGGGAGCAUUGUGAUUCUAGUGUAUGUGGAUGAUUUGAUUAUCACAGGAAGUGAUAAGGCAGGGAUUCAGGCUACUAAGGAGUUUCUCAAAUCUGUGUUUGACAUCAAGGAUUUGGGAGAGAUGAAGUAUUUUCUGGGCAUUGAGAUAUGCAGAUCAAAGGAGGGUUUGUUUAUGUCUCAAAGGAAGUAUACUUGGAUAUGAUGAAGGAGACUGAUGUGCUUGGAGGAAAGAUAGCUAAGACACCCCUUGAGGAGGGAUAUAAAGUUCUGCGUGAGGGGGAGGUUGAAGAGAAGCAGCUGUUUGAAGAUCCUAAGCUAUACAGGAAGAUGGUUGGCAAGCUGAUCUACUUGACCAUCACCAGACCAGAUAUAUGUUUUGCUGUGAACCAAGUGAGUCAGCAUAUGCAGGCACCAAAGGUCCAUCACUGGAAGAUGGUUGAUAGGAUACUGAGGUAUCUGAGUGGGACGACUGGACAAGGGGUUUGGAUGGGUUGUAAUGGCAGUACAGAAGUGGUUGGGUAUUGUGAUGCUGAUUGGGCAGGAGAUAGAGUGGACAGGAGAUCAACUACGGGUAUUGUACAUUCAUUGGAGGAAACUUGGUUACUUGGAAGAGUAAGAAGCAGAAGGUUAUCUCUUGUUCAAGUGCUGAAGCUGAGUAUAGAGCCAUGCUGAAGCUGACAAACGAGUUGGUGUGGAUCAAGGGGAUCUUGAAGCAUCUAGAGAUUGAGCAGAGUACUCCUAUGACUAUGCAUUGUGACAAUCAAGCAGCUAUCCACAUUGCCUCCAACUCAGUGUUUCAUGAGAGAACAAAGCACAUAGAGGUGGAUUGUCAUAAGGUGAGGCAGAUGAUUAUCUUAGGAAUGAUUCUGCCAUGUUAUACAAGAAGUGAAGAUCAGCUUGCAGAUGUGUUUACUAAGGCAGCGAGAUUAAAGACAAUGGAGUCCAUACUAUCCAGGCUUGGACUCAUUGAUCUUACUCCCAGGAGCUGAGCCCCUUAACCAUGGAGUCUCCACUCUUUUUCCCUCAUCAAGGUUUUAUCCCAAUGGGUUUUACUUGGUGAGGUUUUUAAUGAGGGAGAUCUUCAUGGUUUCCAAGCUUGACUUGUUCUACAUGGUCAAGCUUGAGGGGGAGUAUUGAGAUGAAGACCAAGGAGAGACAGUAACUUUAGAGUUUUACUGUGGUAACUUUAUUUUAACCACAGUAACUACUUGGGAAGUUAUCUGAUGAGAUGAGAAGGUAACUUAGUGAAGAGAAGAAGGUAAACUCGACCAAAGAGGAUAAGGAAGGAUAAGGGAGCACUUUGACAGCCUGUAUGAUGCUGGAAAGGAGAGGAUGCUUUUACACUAGUGCAAGCAUGUGAGAAAGCACAGCCAAGUGAUUCAAAAGGAGUUCCAGCCUGUCCUUUGACUACACAUGCUUAUACAUUUCGAAAUUCCUUGUUGCUCUCUCUUUAUAUACUUGUAAACCCUCAUCAGUUAUUAAUUAAUGGAGUUUUGAGUCUCUCUCUCUUUAUUCUCUCUCUAAUCUCUUAAUCUCUUUAAUCUUCUCAUCUGAUUAUCCCUGAUUAGUUGAAUCAUGCUCUAAUACACAAAAGUGUAUACUAUCUUAGAUGCUUAUAGCUACUGUGAGACAGCCAAGGAGCUGUGGGAUACUCUGAAGAAAGUGUAUGGGAACACUUCUAAUCUGAACCGGGUGUUUGAAGUCAAGAAGGCAAUCAAUGGGCUCACGCAAGAAGACAUGGAGUUUACUAAGCACUUAGGGAGGUUCCAGUCUCUGUGGUCUGAGUUGGAGAUGCUGAGGCCAAGCACGGUUGAUCCUGAGCUGCUGAAUGAGAGGCGUGAGCAGGAUAAGGUCUUUGGGUUGCUACUCACGUUGAACCCAAGCUACAAUGGCCUUAUCCAACAUAUGCUGAGGUCUGAGAAACUACCUGAUCUUGAGGAAGUGUGUACGCAGAUACAGAAGGAGCAGGGCUCAAUGGGCUUGUUUGGAGGCAAGGGAGACUUGUCUCUUGCAAACGCUGCGCAAUCUGACCGAGAAGAGACUCCACAAGCCAACAAAGCCACACACAACAAGUUUGAAGACAGGAAGUUCAAUGGAAGCUGUGAUCAUUGCAAGAAGCAUGGACACAAGAAGAGUCAGUGCUGGAUACUCCAUCCCCACUUGAAGCCGGCCAAGUUCAUGAAGGAGAGAGAAGCUAGAGCUCACAUGACUGAAGGAACAAGUGGAGCAGGACCAUCUAACCGAGCUACUGAAGUGGAGAACCGUGAAGGUGAUGGCAAGGCUUUGGUGACCUAUACUGGAGCUAUCAACCCCCGAGGCAAUGAUCAGGACUUCAUCAGGAGAUCCGAGAUGGAUGCACUCAUCAAAAUGCUCAAGGAUAAUGGUAACAUUCAUGGGUAUUCAUUUGGUGCAUCUAUGAUUGCUAGAACUAUAGAAAUGACUCCUAAUAUGGCUGAGAUUGCUAGGAUUGAUAGUAAGACUGGAAUUGAACAUUGCUUUGAUAGAAAUGCUAGGAUGAAUGCAUAUAGAUCACCAAUUAGUAUCUGCCAUAGUGCUAGCAAUACAUCCAAACCAUUGAUUAUAGAUUCUGGUGCAUCUCAUCAUAUGAUUAGUGACACCAACUUGAUUAAAGAUAUAGAACCUACUAAUGGAUGUGUGAUGAUUGCAAAUGGAGAUAAGAUACCCAUCAAGGGUAUAGGAAACUUGAAGCUAUUUGAUAAGAACACUAGAGCAUUUUAUAUUCCGGAAUUCACAUCAAACCUACUUUCAGUUAAGAAAUGCACUACUGAUUUGAAUUGCAAUGUUAUAUUCAGUCCUAAUGAUGUAAAGUUUCAGGAUAUUGAGAGCAGCCAAUUGAUUGGAAAAGGAGUUACAAAGGGAGACUUAUACAUGCUUGAGAAGCUUGAUCCUGUUUCCAAUUAUAACUGCUCAUUUACUUCUGCUUCUAGUUUGAAUAAAAAUGCAUUGUGGCAUGCUAGAUUAGGACAUCCACAUGGGAGAGCCUUAAGCUUAAUGUUACCAGGUGUUGUUUUCGAAAAUAAGAAUUGUGAAGCUUGCAUUUUAGGCAAGCAUUGUAAGAAUGUUUUUCCAAGAACAUCUACUGUUUAUGAAAGUUGCUUUGAUUUAAUUCACACUGAUGUUUGGACUGCACCUAGCUUAUCUAGAGAUAAUCAUAAGUACUUUGUCACAUUCAUUGAUGAAAAAUCUAAAUACACCUGGUUAACACUAAUCCCAUCAAAAGAUAGGGUGAUAGAUGCAUUCAAGAACUUUCAAGCUUAUGUGACUAACCAUUAUCAUGCUAAGAUUAAAAUUUUGAGAUCAGAUAAUGGAGGAGAGUACACAAGCUAUGCAUUCAAGAGUCAUCUAGAGCAUCAUGGAAUCCUUCACCAAACAAGCUGUCCUUACACACCUCAACAGAAUGGUGUGGCCGAGAGAAAGAACAGACACUUGAUGGAGGUGGCUCGGUCCCUGAUGUUUCAAGCCAAUGUACCUAAGAGGUUUUGGAGUGAUGUUGUGUCUACUGCAUGCUAUCUGAUUAACAGGAUGCCCACAAAGGUGUUGAAGGAUCAAGCACCAUUUGAAGUUCUGAACAAGCGCAAGCCAUCCUUGGAAUACAUGAGAGUCUUUGGAUGCUUAUGCUAUGUUCUAGUACCAGGAGAGUUGAGGAACAAGCUAGAAGCAAGAAGCAGAAAGGCAAUGUUCAUUGGCUACUCAAAAAGGAUAUAAAUGUUAUGAUCCAGAAGCUAGAAGGGUACUUGUAUCUAGAGAUGUGAAGUUUAUUGAAGAAAAGGGAUACUAUGAGGAGAAGAAUCAAGAAGACUUAAAGGAUCUCACAUCAGAUAAGGCUGGAGUCUUAAGGAUCAUUUUGGAAGGUCUCGGUAUCAAGAUGAACCAGGAUCAGUCCACAAGAAGUGGAAGCCAAGAAGAGAGCUCAAAUGAACCAAGUAGAGCUGCUCAAACACCUCACCUUGAUCAUGAGGGGGGAAAUGAACCUGAAACUCAAGAAAAUGGCCAAGAAGGUGUCGGCUUGAGUGAGGAAGGAGAAGAGAUCAACACAGGUUCUCAUCAUCAAGGUGAGCAAGACCAAAGAGAUGAAGAACAUCAGAGUGAAGCACAAGAACCGAAUGCACAAGCUGAACUGGUUCAAGAGCAAGAACAACCAGUAUUGAGGAGAAGCACAAGGCUGAGAAAGGAUCCUUCCUCUUGGGUAAACACGCGAGUGUACUACAAUGCCCAAGCUGUGGAGCAUCCUUCCCAAGUUGUGUGUUCUUUUGCUCAAUACCCUGAAGAACAUUGUGCCUUCAUGGUUAACUUAGAUGAGAAUUACAUCCCAAGAAGCUAUGAAGAGGCAAUAAUAGAUAAAGAAUGGAAGGAGUCAGUUGGUGCUGAGGCAGGAGCUAUGAUCAAGAAUGAUACAUGGUAUGAGAGUGAGUUACCAAAAGGGAAGAAGGCUGUGACUAGUAGAUGGAUAUUCACAAUCAAGUAUAAGGCUGAUGGAAAGAUUGAGAGGAAGAAGUCAAGGCUGGUUGCAAGAGGUUUCACUCAAACUUAUGGAGAAGAUUACAUAGAAACCUUGGCACCAGUAGCUAAACUACAUACAAUCCGGAUUGUAUUGAGCUUGGCUGUGAACCUUGGAUGGGGCUUAUGGCAAAUGGAUGUGAAGAAUGCAUUCCUACAAGGAGAACUUGAGGAUGAAGUGUAUAUGCAUCCACCUCCAGGCCUGGAAUACUUAGUGAAGAGAGGGAAUGUGUUAAGAUUGAAGAAAGCUAUCUAUGGGCUGAAGCAAUCACCAAGAGCUUGGUACAACAAGCUGAGCACUACUCUCAAUGGCCGAGGCUUCAAGAAGUCUGAACUAGAUCACACACUCUUCACUCUCACUACUCCCUCAGGUAUGAUUGCACUCCUUGUGUAUGUUGAUGAUAUCAUUAUCACAGGAAGUGAUAAGGAAGGUAUCAUAGCAACCAAGGAGUUUCUUAAAUCCAUGUUUGAGAUUAAAGACUUGGGAGAAAUGAAAUACUUUCUUGGAAUUGAGAUAUGUAGAUCCAAGGAAGGUUUAUUCAUGUCCCAAACGAAAUAUACACUUGAUCUUUUGAAAGGUGCAGGUGCUUAUGGAGGCAAGACAGCAAGGAUGCCUAUGGAGGAUGGCUACAAAGUCCCACGAGAGGGGGAGAUUGAAGACAGCAAGCCUUAUCAGGAUCCUAAACUCUAUAGAAAACUAGUUGGCAAAUUGAUUUAUCUUACCAUAACUAGACCUGACAUUUGCUUUGCUGUGAAUCAUGUGAGUCAACACAUGCAAGUGCCUAAGGAGCAUCACUGGCGCAUGGUAGAGAGGAUCUUGAUGUAUCUCAACGGCUCACCUGAUCAAGGAGUAUGGAUGGGCUGCAAUGGAAGCACUGAAGUGGUGGGAUACUGUGAUGCGGAUUGGGCUGGUGAUAGAGCAGACAGGAGAUCAACCACAGGCUAUUGCACAUUCAUUGGAGGCAACUUGGUGACUUGGAAGAGUAAGAAGCAGAAGGUGGUGUCUUGCUCAAGUGCAGAAGCUGAGUAUAGAGUUAUGCUGAAGCUCACCAACGAGUUAGUAUGGAUCAAAGGCAUCUUGAAGCAUUUGGAGAUUGAUCAAGCCACGCCAAUGACCAUGCAUUGUGACAACCAAGCAGCUAUCCACAUUGCCUCCAACUCGGUGUUCCAUGAGAGAACCAAGCACAUUGAAGUUGAUUGCCACAAGGUGAGGCAGAUGAUCAUCCUAGGAGUCAUCUUGCCAUGCUACACAACAAGUGAAGAUCAAUUAGCGAUGUGUUCACCAAGGCUGCAAGACAGAAGACAAUGGAGUCCAUUCACAUACGGUUGGGCCUCAUUGAUCUUGGGAAGAGAAGGAGCUGAUCCCCUUGGCUGUGAGGUCUUUACUCUUUUUCCCUUAUCAAGGUUUUAUCCCAAUGGGUUUUCCUUGGUAAGGUUUUUAAUGAGGAAGAUCUCAUAGCUAUCCAAGCUUAGGCUUUCACAAAGCUAAGCUUGAGGGGGAGUGUUGAGUUGAGUUGAGUAUAAGUGUGAAGCAAGUGAGGAGUUGAGACUAAGGAGAUGAGUUGAAGCUUGGGAAGGUUUGGGCAAGGUCCGUACAAGUCCGUACAAUCCGUACAUGACCGUACACAUGAAGAUGGGUGAAACCUUGACAAGGGUAAAGAAGUUACUUGCGGUAACUUAGGUGAAGGGAAGGAACUUACCUGGAUGCAUCAGACCGUUUAGGGAUAAGGUAGAGCGCGCCUUGACAGGCUGGAACAGCUGGAAAGGCAAGAGCAUCUCGGUCCAAGAUGCUAGAUGCUCCGCGCAUGUGGAGAAGCUAAUUGGCUAGUCCAAAUGAGCUUAUCCUCUCCUGAUUGACCUCACAUGCUUUAGUCUUCUCUUGAUUUCGAAAACCCUUGUAUGCUCACACUAUAUAUUGUAACUCAUGUCCUUAAUGAAAGAUUAGACAGUUCUAAACAAUCUUUCUCUUUACUCAUUUCAUCAUGAUUCUCCAUUAGCCUCUAAUCAGUCUCUUAAAUCUCUUAUUCUCUUCCUUAAUCUUAUUCUAAACUCAGAUUAAUCUUUAUAUUCCUAAAAGUCAUAAUAACUUCUUCAUCCCAACUCCUAUGAGAUUUAUUCAACUUCCUGGUGAUUCUCCACCACUUUAUGUAUCCAAAUUAAGCUUCUCACAAAGUGAUUCAUCCUGGUUUGAUUGGAACGACGAUGAAGCUGUGCUAUUCCCAAACUGAGAAACUGGAAUCACCUUAUUUGAAUGUGGGAUAACUUCUUCUUGCCAACUCCUAUGAGAUUUAUUCAACAUCCUGGUGAUUCUACACCACUUUAUGUAUCCAAAUCAAGCUUCUUACAAAGUGAUUCAUCCUGGUUUGAUUGGAACGACGAAGAAGCUGUGCUAUUCCCAAACUGGGAAACUGGAAUCACCUGAUUUGAAAGGGGAAUAACUUCUUCAUCCCAACUCCUAUGAGAUUUAUUCAACUUCCUGGUGAUUCUCCACCACUUUAUGUAUCCAAAUCAAGCUUCUCACAAAGUGAUUCAUCCUGGUUUGAUCGGAACGACGAUGAAGCUGUGCUAUUCCCAAACUGGGAAACUGGAAUCACCUGAUUUGAAAGGGGAAUAACUUCUUCAUCCCAACUCCUAUGAGAUUUAUUCAACUUCCUGGUGAUUCUCCACCACUUUAUGUAUCCAAAUCAAGCUUCUCACAAAGUGAUUCAUCCUGGUUUGAUUGGAACGACGAUGAAGCUGUGCUAUUCCCAAACUGGGAAACUGGAAUCACCUGAUUUGAAAGUGGGAUAACUUCUUCAUCCCAACUCCUAUGAGAUUUAUUCAACUUCCUGGUUAUUCUCCACCACUUUAUGUAUCAAAAUCAAGCUUCUCACAAAGUGAUUCAUCCUGGUUUGAUUGGAACGACGAAGAAGCUGUCCUAUUCCCAAACUGGGAAACUGGAAUCACCUGAUUUGAAAUUGGGAUAACUUCUUCUUUCCAACUCCUAUGAGAUUUAUUCAACUUCCUGGUGGUUCUCCACCACUUAUUGUAUCCAAAUCAAGCUUCUCACAAAGUGAUUCAUCCUGGUUUGAUUGGAACGACGAUGAAGCUGUGCUAUUCCCAAACUGGGAAACUGGAAUCACCUGAUUUGAAAGUGGGAUAACUUCUUCAUCCCAACUCCUAUGAGAUUUAUUUAACUUCCUGGUGAUUCUCCACCACUUUAUGUAUCCAAAUCAAGCAUCUUACAAAGUGAUUCAUCCUGGUUUGAUUGGAACGACGAAGAAGCUGUCCUAUUCCCAAACUGGGAAACUGGAAUCACCUGAUUUGAAAGUGGGAUAACUUCUUCUUUCCAACUCCUAUGAGAUUUAUUCAACUUCCUUGUGAUUCUCCACCACUUAAUGUAUCCAAAUCAAGCUUCCCACAAAGUGAUUCAUCCUGGUUUGAUUGGAACGACGAAGAAGCUUUCCUAUUCCCAAACUGGAAAACUGGAAUCACCUGAUUUGAAAGUGGAAUAACUUCUUCUUUCCAACUCCUAUGAGAUUUAUUCAACUUCCUGGGGAUUCUCUAUCACUUUUAGAGUAAUGAAUAGUAAUCUGAGUGUUUAGUAUAGAUUUAAGAGAGAUUAGAGAAGAAAUGAGUGUAGAGAGUAAGGUUUAGAGAACAAGACUAAGAGUAAGCCAUGGAGGCAAAGAUAAGCUGAAGUGUCUAAGUUUUAUUAAUGACCAGAUGUUACAAUACAUAGAGAGGCAUCUCGAGGUUAAGGGUUUCAGAAAGCACACUAUUACAUGGGAUAAGAUUCUGCUUUAAUUCAAACUGUCCAAUUAAGCUCUUCCUUGUGUGUAAAGUAUGAUUUUUAAAGAGAUCUCUACUCUUGUUGUUGAGAUGAGGUAAUAAAGAGUGACUACAUUGAUAGAGAAAGAGGAUUGAGACAGACAGUAACUUUGGAGUUACCACAGUAACUUUGGUUUUACUGUGGUAACUAAGUUAAAGCUUGGAAAGUUACCUUGGCUCACAUUGGAGAGUAAGCCACGACCAAGAGCUGUAUGGAUAAGGGAGGAGCAGUCUGGAUAAGGUUUCCUCACAGCUAGAGAGGCUGGAGACAGGCUGUAAAGUAGACAGCAUCUAGUAAAAGAUGCCAAAGGGAUCAAGCAUGUGAAGACUCCCAUUGGCUGCUUUUGGAUGGCUCUCUUUGACUACACAUGCCCUGAACCUCUACCUUAUCUGAUUGAUUUCGAAAUUGAUUGUCUCUCUCAUAUAAGUAUGUUGUAAACCUCAUCUUUAUUAAUUAAUGGAGUUUUGAGUCUCUCUCUCUUUAUUCUCUCUCUAAAAUCUCUUAAUCUCUUUAAUCUUUUCAUCUGAUUAUCCCUGAUUGGUUGAAUCAUGCUCUAAUACACAAAAGUGUAUAUGGUAUCAGAGCCAGGUUGCUAAAAAGGGGAGAGUGUGAUUUCGUUUUUCAUAAAAAUCUGGGUGUUCUUGAGUGUUCUUGAGUGUUCUUGGUGUUCUUGAGUUCUGUUCUUUAUUAUCUGAGUGGUGUGAGAUAUUCUGAUGGAUUCAAACUAUCUCAACAUGGAAAUGAAGCACAGAUCUAGUACAACCAUGGAGCUUGAAGAAGAGAGGGAUGGCGAUUGGUCAAGAUGGGCAAAGAGAGCUUUGGAAAGCUGUGGGUUAUGGAGUAGUCAUGGAAAGGGGAAACCUUUCAUGGAAAUGGCUACUGAAGAAGGUCAGACAAGAGGUCUGAAGCUGGGAAAUGAAGUUGUUCAAGGAAACACUACAAAGAGUGAGAUUGAAGCAACUUUAGGCAAGUCCAAGCUUGUGAGUCGUUGAGGACAGAGGGGUGAUCCGCGGCUUGAGACAAGGAAAGGAUGAGUGUUAUCAGCUUGUGGGAAGGCUGAGAGAAGUAUGGUCAGAGCUAGAUGUGGUGAAGACACACACAUCAAAUCCGAGAUGUUGUCAAGAAAGGAGGAAGCAAGAUGUGAUCUUCAGCUUCCUUAUGGAAGAGGUAUGUGAGCUUGUUAAAUAUACUUGUGAUGUGUGGGAAAUGAACAGGAAGCCAGAAAGAUGGAAGGGAGGUACAAGCUGUAAGAGGGGAAGGUUGAGAAAACUUUCUAAGGAGUGGUUAAUGAAGAGAAGGGCAUGGAGAAAGGAUAGCGAGUCUGAGCACUUAAGUGACAGGAUGAGUGUAAUCUUGAAGAGAAUCAAGGAUGAACUUCAGCAGAUGGUUAUAGGAGAGUGUUCAUACUCAGCUUACAUGGGAGAAACAGUAGGAGACAGUGCGGAUAUGAGAGGAAUGGAUACCAAGAGGGCAGAUGAGUGUGUGACAAAGAAGGAAUGGGAUGAGUUGGUUGAGCAUGUGUAUGCUUUGGCUACGACCCGGAGUCUGGGUGCUCCUGCCAAAGCAUCCACAUCUAAACCCAUCAUCAUUGACUCUGGAGCAACACACCACAUGAUCAGUGACAAGAGACUAAUCAGUGAGGUAAAGCAGCAACAGGGAGUGUCAUGAUAGCCAAUGGUACCAGGAUCCCAAUAGAAGGAGUGGGAAACCUCAAGCUGUUUGAGAAGAACUCCACUGCCUUCUACCUACCUCAGUUUACAUCCAAUCUAAUCUCUGUUAAGAAGGCUACAGUUGAUCUGGAUUGUCAAGUGGUUUUCAGACCAAAUGAAGUUGAGUUCCAGGAUUUGAAGACUGGAAGAGUUAUUGGCAGAGGAGACAGCAAGCAUCAGCUCUAUCAUCUCCAAACAACUGAGGCGCCUAGUCCUGUGGAGUCUGUGUGUUUAAGAAGCACAACGGAUAGGUGUGAUAAUCUCACAUGGCAUGCAAGGCUGGGACAUCCUCAUGCCAAGGCAAUUGAACUGAUUCUACCAAGUAUGGCGUUCAAUCACUUGGAGUGUGAAGCUUGUAUACUUGGAAAGCACUGUAGGACUGUCUUCCCAACAUCAGAAACCAGAUAUGAGAAUUGCUUUGAUCUGGUGCAUUCAGACGUGUGGACAGCUCACUGUAUGUCUAGAGACAGCCAUAAGUACUUUGUGACUUUCAUUGAUGAGAAGUCAAAGUACACAUGGAUCACCAUGAUUCCCUCCAAAGACAGAGUCCUGGAAGCCUUCAUGAACUUCCAAGCAUAUGUUACUAACCAGUACAAUGCCACUGUGAAGAUUCUGAGGUCUGAUAAUGGAGGAGAAUACACUAGCAAUGCUUUCAAGAGUCAUCUUGCAAAGCAUGGGAUUGUGCAACAAACUAGCUGUCCUUACACACCACAACAAAAUGGGGUGGCUGAGAGGAAGAACAGACAUUUGAUGGAGGUUGCGAGAUCAAUAAUGUUCCACAUGAAUGUCCCUAAGAGGUUUUGGAGUGAUGCUGUUCAGACUGCUUGCUAUCUCAUCAAUAGAGUGCCAACCCGUGUCUUGAAGAAACUGUCUCCCUUUGAAGUAUUAAACAAGGCCAAGCCACACAUUGAUCAUUUGAGAGUCUUUGGGUGCUUAUGUUAUGUGAUGAUUCCCGGAGAAAGAAGGAACAAGCUAGAAGCAAAGAGUACUAAAGCUAUGUUCAUUGGGUACUCAAUCACUCAGAAAGGCUACAAAUGUUAUGAUCCAAUAACUAGGAGGGUUAUGGUAUCUAGAGAAGUGAAGUUUGUUGAGUCUAAAGGGUAUUAUGAGGAGAAGAAAUGGGAAGACCUAGAGGAUAUGUCCCGAGCUCCAUCAGAGAAGGCAACAACAUUGAGGGUGUUGUUGGAGAGGCUAGGGAUAGGAUUAUCCCAAGAUCAGGAACCAGGAAGAACAGGACCUUCUAAUCAAGCUGGAGAAGCUGGAGGAACAACUCCUCUUGAUCAUGAGAGGGGGAAUGGAUCUGAAUCAGGGGAGCAGGAGCAUAACCAAGAGGAUUCAGGUCAGCAUGAUCAGGAGGAGACACAGGAAGUAGAGAGUGGAGCUCAGUCAGGUGGAAAUGAGCAGGGAGAAUCUAUUGGUUUAAGAGAGGAAGCACAAGAGAAUGUUCAGGCUGAAGAACAGGUUGAGACCUUGCGGAGGAGCACAAGGAUAAGGAGGGAUCCUUCCAACUGGGUAAACACGAGAGUGUACUACAAUGCCCAGGCUGUGGAGCAUCCCUCUCAAGCCGUGUGUUCCUUUGCUGAGUUUCCAGAAGAGCACAUGGUGUUUAUGUGUAACUUGGAUGAGAAUGAGAUACCAAGAUCUUAUGAAGAAGCUAUGAAGCACAAGGUUUGGAGAGAUUCAGUAGGAGAUGAAAGGGAUGCAAUGAUCAGGAAUGAUACUUGGUAUGAGAGUGAGUUACCUAAAGGGAAGAAGGCAGUUUCAAGCAGAUGGAUCUUCACCAUCAAGUACCUUGCAAAUGGGGAGAUAGAUAGGCGCAAGACUAGGCUGGUUGCAAGAGGAUUUACACAGACUUAUGGGGAAGAUUACAUUGAUACUUUUGCACCAGUGGCCAAGCUUCACACAAUUCGAAUUGUGUUAUCUAUUGCAACAAACUUGGAGUGGGAUUUGUGGCAAAUGGAUGUGAAGAAUGCUUUCUUGCAAGGUGAACUUGAAGAUGAAGUAUACAUGCAUCCACCUCCUGGUCUUGAGCAUCUAGUAAAGCCAGGGAAUGUUUUGAGAUUGAAGAAAGCAAUAUAUGGGUUGAAACAGUCACCUAGAGCUUGUUACAGGAAGCUGAGUACAACACUCAAUGGGAGAGGCUUUAGGAAGUCUGAACUAGAUCACACUCUCUUCACUUUGACAGGACCUUCAGGGAGCAUUGUGAUUCUAGUGUAUGUGGAUGAUUUGAUUAUCACAGGAAGUGAUAAGGCAGGGAUUCAGGCUACUAAGGAGUUUCUCAAAUCUGUGUUUGACAUCAAGGAUUUGGGAGAGAUGAAGUAUUUUCUGGGCAUUGAGAUAUGCAGAUCAAAGGAGGGUUUGUUUAUGUCUCAAAGGAAGUAUACUUUGGAUAUGAUGAAGGAGACUGAUGUGCUUGGAGGAAAGAUAGCUAAGACACCCCUUGAGGAGGGAUAUAAAGUUCUGCGUGAGGGGGAGGUUGAAGAGAAGCAGCUGUUUGAAGAUCCUAAGCUAUACAGGAAGAUGGUUGGCAAGCUGAUCUACUUGACCAUCACCAGACCAGAUAUAUGUUUUGCUGUGAACCAAGUGAGUCAGCAUAUGCAGGCACCAAAGGUCCAUCACUGGAAGAUGGUUGAUAGGAUACUGAGGUAUCUGAGUGGGACGACUGGACAAGGGGUUUGGAUGGGUUGUAAUGGCAGUACAGAAGUGGUUGGGUAUUGUGAUGCUGAUUGGGCAGGAGAUAGAGUGGACAGGAGAUCAACUACGGGGUAUUGUACAUUCAUUGGAGGAAACUUGGUUACUUGGAAGAGUAAGAAGCAGAAGGUUAUCUCUUGUUCAAGUGCUGAAGCUGAGUAUAGAGCCAUGCUGAAGCUGACAAACGAGUUGGUGUGGAUCAAGGGGAUCUUGAAGCAUCUAGAGAUUGAGCAGAGUACUCCUAUGACUAUGCAUUGUGACAAUCAAGCAGCUAUCCACAUUGCCUCCAACUCAGUGUUUCAUGAGAGAACAAAGCACAUAGAGGUGGAUUGUCAUAAGGUGAGGCAGAUGAUUAUCUUAGGAGUGAUUCUGCCAUGUUAUACAAGAAGUGAAGAUCAGCUUGCAGAUGUGUUUACUAAGGCAGCGAGAUUAAAGACAAUGGAGUCCAUACUAUCCAGGCUUGGACUCAUUGAUCUUACUCCCAGGAGCUGAGCCCCUUAACCAUGGAGUCUCCACUCUUUUUCCCUCAUCAAAGUUUUAUCCCAAUGGGUUUUCUUUGGUGAGGUUUUUAAUGAGGGAGGUCUUCAUGGUUUCCAAGCUUGACUUGUUCCACAUGGUCAAGCUUGAGGGGGAGUGUUGAGAUGAGGUAAUAAAGAGUGACUACAUUGAUAGAGAAAGAGGAUUGAGACAGACAGUACCUUUGGAGUUACCACAGUAACUUUGGUUUUACUGUGGUAACUAAGUUAAAGCUGGGAAAGUUACCUUGGCUCACAUUGGAGAGUAAGCCACGACCAAGAGCUGUAUGGAUAAGGGAGGAGCAGUCUGGAUAAGGUUUCCUCACAGCUAGAGAGGCUGGAGACAGGCUGUAAAGUAGACAGCAUCUAGUAAAAGAUGCCAAAGGGAUCAAGCAUGUGAAGACUCCCAUUGGCUGCUUUUGGAUGGCUCUCUUUGACUACACAUGCCCUGAACCUCUACCUUAUCUGAUUGAUUUCGAAAUUGAUUGUCUCUCUCAUAUAAGUAUGUUGUAAACCUCAUCUUUAUUAAUUAAUGGAGUUUUGAGUCUCUCUCUCUUUAUUCUCUCUCUAAAAUCUCUUAAUCUCUUUAAUCUUUUCAUCUGAUUAUCCCUGAUUGGUUGAAUCAUGCUCUAAUACACAAAAGUGUAUACUUGUAGUAUGUGUGUGUGGAUAAUCUCCAAUGGAGAAUGAUUAGAGCUUGUUUUAGGUGAUUUAGAAGAGAGAUUGAUGAGAGUGUAUAAGAGAAUUAGGAACAGAGAUUAAGAGACUUAAGAGACUGAGAGAAUAAGUGUUUCAGAUUCAUGAAGGAGAAGGGAAACCCCCUUACUCACUUAAGAGUUACAAAACAUCACUUAUGAGCUUAUAUAUGCUCUUUACAACUUGCAAUCAUAAACCUAAAUCUAAGGGCUGUUAUAACUUGAAUUUAAAUGAAUGGAUGAGAUGGAAAGAUGGUCUUGGUCGUGGCUGGCUCUUCCUGAUGGAUAAUUGGUCCAUUUGAAUCUGGUCAAGGGAAGGCUGGCUCCUUAUUGGCUAGCUAAAGGCUCCCAUGAAUCUGCCCACUUCUUUUGCUAGAUACAUGGUUUCCUUUUGCUUUUACUUUACAGCAAGGGACUCUCCUUUCCAGCCUGUCACUCGCCAGCCUCUCCUUUGUCUUCUUCUCUUAAGAGUUUCACCAGCCUAUCCUUUGCCUUCUUCUCUUAAGAGUUUUGUCUUCUUCUCUUAAGAGUUUUGUGUUCUCUUACUGUGGUUGUUGAGAAGAGGUGAUAAAGAGUGGGUACAUUGAUAGAGGAAGAGAAAUGGGGCAGUCAGUAACGUUGGAGAUUUACCACAUUAACUUUAGUUUUACUGUGGUAACUAAGGUAUAACUUUGGGAAGUUACCUUUCAAUCAUUUGGAGAGUGAAGCACGUCCAAGGAGAGUCUGGAUAAGGAAGGAGCAAUCUGGAUAAGGAAGAAGCAUUCUGGAUAAGGUCUGGUCAUAGCUGGAAAGGUAAAACACCUUUACAGCCUGUCCAAGCAUGUGAGAACACCCAUUGGCUGCUUUUGGAUGGCUCUCCUUGACUCCACACGUUCCUGAUCUCCUCUGACCCUAUGAUUUCGAAUUGUAUCUUGUAUCACUCAUAUAAAUGAGAUUUUAGAGAGUAGAAUAGGUAUUGAGAGAUUAAGAGAGAUUUGGUAAGAGAUUAAGAGAAGUUUAGAAGAGAUUGUGAAAGAAAUGGAGAGAUUAUGUGUGAUCCAUGAUGAACAAGAGAGAGACUAGAGAGAGAGUAACAUAAUCCGCAUCAUCUUAUUGAUCAGUGAGUGUUUACAAUAUAUAGGAGUGUGAUACUAGGGUUUAAGAAGAGACUAAGCAUGUGAGGUCAAAGCUAAGGGAGCCUUUAAUUUGAACCGGACCAAUGAGCCUCUCCACACGCGUGGUCACUAUGCUAAAAGUGAACCUUAUCCUUCCAGCCUGUGCCAGCCUGUAGAGACGCUCUUCCUCUAUCCAUCAACGGUCAUAAGCCUUCUUUGGUCGAGGUAAAACAUGAUCCGAACGUGAACUUCUUCUCGCGGUAACACUUCUUUACCGCAUGGUCGAUACCGUCUGUACGGCCGUACGGCCAUGGUACGGACCUGUACGGACCAGUACGGACGGUUCUCCCUAAGGCCAAUCCUUCUCCUCUACUCAACAUCACAACCUCUUCAACCCUGAACAACUCUCCUCAUAUUCCUCAGCUCAUCUCAACACUCCCCCUCAAGCUUGACCAUGUGGAACAAGUCAAGCUUGGAAGGAUCAUGAGCUCCCCCUCAUUAAAAACCUCAUCAAAGAAAACCCAUUGGGACAAAACUCUGAUGAGGGAAAAAGAGUAAGGACCUCAUGAUCAGGAGAGUGUAUAGAUCAGCCCUUAGGCGAAAGAUCAAGGAGUCCCAACCUUAUGUGAAUUGACUCCAUUGUCUUUUGCCUAGCCGCCUUAGUGAAAACAUCUGCCAACUGAUCCUCACUCCUUGUGUAGCACGGCAGUAUCACUCCCAAGACUAUCAUCUGCCUCACUUUAUGACAGUCCACUUCAAUAUGCUUGGUUCUUUCAUGGAACACCGAGUUUGUGGCUAUGUGAAUGGCUGCUUGAUUGUCACAAUGCAUGGUCAUUGGUGUUGCUUGCUCAAUCUCCAAGUGCUUCAGUAUUCCUUUAAUCCAUACCAACUCAUUUGUGAGCUUUAGCAUUGCUCUAUACUCAGCCUCGGCACUUGAGCAUGACACCACCUUUUGCUUCUUACUCUUCCAAGUAACCAUGUUUCCACCAAUGAAUGUGCAAUAGCCGGUUGUAGAUCUUCUAUCUGUUCUGUCUCCAGCCCAAUCUGCAUCACAAUAUCCCACUGCUUCAGUGCUCCCAUUACAACCCAUCCAUAUACCAAGCCCUUGAGUUCCAUUCAGAUACAUGAGAACUCUUUCUACCAUGCGCCAGUGAUGCUCUCUUGGAGCUUGCAUAUGCUGACUCACUUGGUUCACAGCAAAACAGAUGUCUGGCCUAGUAAUGGUUAGAUAGAUCAGCUUCCCCACAAGCUUCCUGUAUAGCUUUGGAUCAUGAAAUGCCUUACUAUCUUCUAGCUCCCCCUCACGUGGAGCUUUAUACCCAUCCUCCAUGGGCAUCUUGGCUGUCUUUCCUCCAUACGCACCAGCCUCCUUCAACAGAUCCAAGAUAUAUUUCCUUUGUGAGAUGAACAGCCCUUCUUCUGAUCUGCACAGCUCAAUUCCAAGGAAGUACUUCAUUUCUCCCAAGUCUUUGAUGUCAAACACAGAUUUCAGAAACUCCUUGGUCUCCUUGAUUCCCACCUUAUCACUGCCUGUGAUAACUAUGUCAUCCACAUAUACAAGAAGCACAACAAUGCCUGCAGGUGUAGUAAGAGUGAAGAGAGUGUGAUCAAGCUCUGAUUUCCUGAAGCCUCUUCCAUUUAGAGUUGUGCUCAGCUUGUGAUACCAUGCCCUUGCUGAUUGCUUUAACCCAUAGAUGGCCUUCUUCAACCUCAGCACAUUCCCUGGUUUCACCAUCCCUUCUAGGCCCGGAGGUGGUAGCAUGUAGACUUCAUCUUCCAACUCUCCUUGGAGAAAUGCAUUCUUCACAUCCAUUUGCCAAAGAUCCCACCCAAGAUUAGUAGCCACUGAUAGGACUAUUCGAAUGGUGUGUAGCUUUGCAACUGGAGCAAAUGUAUCAAUGUAGUCUUCUCCAUAUGUCUGAGUGAACCCUCUUGCUACCAGUCUAGUCUUCUUCCUCUCAAUUGACCCAUCAGCCUUGUACUUGACUGUAAAGAUCCAUCUACUAGACACAGCCUUCUUCCCUUUUGGUAGUUCACUCUCAUACCAUGUAUCAUUCUUUAUCAUAGCUCCUGCCUCAGCUCCUACUGAUUCCUUCCAUUCUUCAUCUUCCAUUGCCUCUUCAUAGCUUCUUGGAAUGUGAUUCUUAUCUAAGUUUACCAUAAAUGCACAAUGUGCUUCUGGAUAUUGAGCAAAGGAACACACGGCCUGAGUAGGAUGCUUCACAGCUUGGGCAUUGUAGUACACUCUCGUGUUUACCCAACUAGAAGGAUCCCUUCUCAGCCUUGUACUCCUUCUCAACACUGGUCCUUCUUGCGCCAUCUCUUGUUCUUCUUCUACUUGUGGAGUGACUGCUUCAGUCUGUACUUCAGCUUCAGCUCUAGCCUCUCCUUGUCUCUGACCUUCUUCAUUCUGACUUUCAUUCAGUUCUUCCCUUGCUGAUCCUUCUCCACUUUGGACAGGAGAAUCAGUUCCUCUGUUUCCUAGCUCACCGGCCUCUUCUAAGCCUUGGUCCUCUAGUUCAGAUACUGAUUCACUUCCCCCCUCAUGUGCAAAGUGGGAUGGUUCUUCUGCUGCAGCUGGAGUAGGUUCUGGACGCCUACUCUGAUCCUGGGACACUCCAAUUCCGAGCCCCUCUAGAAUGUUUCUCAAGCAAGCAGCUCUUUCUGAUGGCUGGGAUAGAUCCUCCAGGUCUUCCCAUGUCUGCUCAUCAUAGUAUCCUUUCUCUUCCAUGAAUCUGACAUCCCUUGACACUAGGACUCUCCUAGCUGUAGGAUCAUAGCAUUUGUAGCCCUUCUGUGAAGUGGAAUACCCAAUCAUCAUGGCCUUGGUGCUCUUUGCUUCUAGUUUGUUUCUCUGCUCGCCUGGUACAAGAACAUAACACACGCAUCCAAAGGUCCUCAGGUGAUCCAAGACUGGCCUGCUCUUGUUAAGUACCUCAAAUGGAGAUUGAUCUGCCAAGAUCCUGGUUGGUAUCCUGUUGAUCAGAUAGCACGCAGUCAUCACAGCAUCACUCCAAUACCUCUUGGGAACCCCUUUGUGGAACAUCAUAGACCGGGACACCUCCAUGAGAUGUCUGUUCUUCCUUUCAGCAACUCCAUUCUGCUGUGGAGUGUAUGGGCAGCUAGUCUGGUGAAGAAUCCCAUGUUGAGCAAGGUGAUCACGAAAUGCAUGCCCAGUAUACUCCCCACCAUUAUCAGACCUGAAAAUCUUAAUCUUGGCAUGAUAUUGGUUAGUCACAUAGGCUUGAAAUUUUUUAAAUGCAUCAAGGACUCUAUCUUUAGUUUUAAUCAAUGUUAACCAGGUGUAUUUGGAUUUUUCAUCAAUGAAUGUGACAUAAUACUUGUAAUCAUCCCUAGAUAAGCAAGGUGCAGUCCAAACAUCAGAGUGAAUUAAAUCAAAGCAGUUUGCAUAAAGAGUAGAUGAUCUUUGAAAAACAGUCUUACAGUGUUUACCCAAAAUACAAGCCUCACAAUCAUUAUUUUUAAACAUGACACCUGGUAACAUAAUGCUUAAAGCCCUAACAUGUGGAUGGCCUAGCCUAGCAUGCCACAGAGCAUCAAUACUUAAGGAAGAAACAGAACUAAACGAGAAACAAGAACUAGAAAUAGGUGCAAGGUCUUCAAUCAUGUAAAGAUCUCCCUUGGUUGCUCCUUGCCCAAUCAACUUACUGCUCUUAAUAUCCUGAAACUUAACAUCAUUAUGACUGAAAAUAACAUUGCAUUGAAGAUCAGUAGUGCAUUUCUUAACUGAUAAGAGAUUAGAGGUGAACUCAGGCAUGUAAAAAGCUUUUGAAUCCUUAUUAAACAAGUUCAGUUUACCAAUGCCUCUAAUGGGAAUUCUAUCUCCAUUUGCAAUCAUAACAUGACCAAGUGCAGGUUCUAUGUCUUUUAUCAGAUUGUUAUCACUAAUCAUGUGAUGAGAUGCACCAGAAUCAAUUAUCAAUGGUUUAUGCAAGCUCCUAGCAGUAUUGAUUCUAGAUGUUUCAUUUUCAGCUUUCAGGCUCUUAACUACUCCUAACAAUCUAUCAGUUAUGCUAGUAUGAGCAGUAGCAGUACAUGAGGUUUUAAAAAUGUCUAACAGCUUAUCAGAGAUACUAGGUAAUGUAUGAGCAGAGUAUGAGUAUCCAAGAGUGUUGCCUAGCAUUUUACCAGACUCCUUGAGGGCUCGGAUGAAUGCCUCAAAGUCAGCCUUGGUGAUCACUUCCUGAGAAGUUAGAACCAUGCCUUCACUUUCACCCGCCUUGACAUUUGGACUAGCCCCUGAUGAGCCAGCACCACUUGCUUCAGCAGAAAGGUGAGCCUUAGCUUCUCUAUCCUUGUUGAACUUGCUUGGCCUGAGGUGUGGAUGUAGGAUCCAGCACUGACUCUUCUUAUGCCCUUGCCGCUUGCAAUGCUCACAGCUUCCCUCAUACUUCUCAUACUUCCUUCCAUCUCCACGGUAUGCUGCCUUGUUUGCUUGCGCCUCUUCUGCUUUAUGAGCCGUGGACAUUCCCUUCUUGCCUCCAAACAACCCAAGAGAGCCUUCCUCCUUCUGAAGUUGUGCACAAACCUCCUCCAUGGAUGGGAGAGUAGGUGAUCUCAGGAUAUGCUUGAUCACAUCCUGGUAGCUUUCAUCUAGAGUCAUCAAUAGCCCAAACACCUGAUCUUGCUCUCUCCUCUCAAUGAGCGAUUCCUCAUCAGUUGUGUUGGGUCUAAGACUCUCAAGUUCGGACCACAACGCUCCAAACUUCCCCAUGUGCUUGGUGAGAUCUUCUCCAUCUUGCCUCAAGACACUGAUGGUUUGCUUCAGAUCAAACACCCGACUUAUGUUGGACUUGUUUCCAUACCUCUUAUGGAGCAUGUCCCAAAGGCGCUUAGGAGUCUCAAAGUGCACGUAAGCUUCAAGUAUGGGGAGCUCCAGAGAGGCAUGGAGCACAGACAGCACCAUCAAAUCCUCUUGGACCCAUCUCUUUGCUUCAGCUACCGCAAGAGUCUUCCCGUCGCCUUCUUCUUCAUCUUCUUUGGCCACUGGCUCCGGACCAUCAUCUGUGAUGUGGUUCCACAGCCCUAGCCUUCCAAUGGUAGUCCUCACUAACUGGGACCACAUCAAGUAGUUCGAGCCUCCCUUCAGUGCAACCGGAACUGUCACCAGUUUGCUAAAGUUGGUCGUCUCCAUCUCCUCUUCUUUAUCACACAAGAACAAACUCGCAAAUGUAAAGAAAGGAACAAGGAUCUCUCAAUACCAAAGCCAACCUGGCUCUGAUACCAUGAGAUUUUAGAGAGUAGAAUAGGUAUUGAGAGAUUAAGAGAGAUUUGGUAAGAGAUUAAGAGAAGUUUAGAAGAGAUUGUGAAAGAAAUGGAGAGAUUAUGUGUGAUCCAUGAUGAACAAGAGAGAGACUAGAGAGAGAGUAACAUAAUCCGCAUCAUCUUAUUGAUCAGUGAGUGUUUACAAUAUAUAGGAGUGUGAUACUAGGGUUUAAGAAGAGACUAAGCAUGUGAGGUCAAAGCUAAGGGAGCCUUUAAUUUGAACCGGACCAAUGAGCCUCUCCACACGCGUGGUCACUAUGCUAAAAGUGAACCUUAUCCUUCCAGCCUGUGCCAGCCUGUAGAGACGCUCUUCCUCUAUCCAUCAACGGUCAUAAGCCUUCUUUGGUCGAGGUAAAACAUGAUCCGAACGUGAACUUCUUCUCGCGGUAACACUUCUUUACCGCAUGGUCGAUACCGUCUGUACGGCCGUACGGCCAUGGUACGGACCUGUACGGACCAGUACGGACGGUUCUCCCUAAGGCCAAUCCUUCUCCUCUACUCAACAUCACAACCUCUUCAACCCUGAACAACUCUCCUCAUAUUCCUCAGCUCAUCUCAACAAUAAAGCCUUGUAAACCUUAUUGUUAAUAAUUAAUGGAGUUUUGAGUAUUCUCUCUUGUUCUUUAUUCUCUUAGUCUCUCUUAAUCUCCUAAUCUCAUACAAACUACACAAACCAUCUCUUGAUAUUCAUUCAUCACUCUACAUACACAAAAGUGUAUAUGGUAUCAGAGCCAGGUUGCGCAAAGGGGAGAGGGUGUUUGAUUAUGAUUUUCGAAAUCUGAGUUUCUUGAGGUGUUCUUGAGGUGUUCUUGGUGUUCUUGAUGUGUUCUUGGUGCUCUUUGGUGUGCUUGAGAUCGAAUUGAGUCUGUGGAGAGUUUCUGAUGGAUUCAAAUGAGUUAAGCAUGGUGGUGGAGACAAGAUCAAGAAGUGAAGAGAAGAAAGAGAGAGAAAACGAGUGUGCUUGGUCAAGCUGCUGGAUAAAGACAGCUUUUGAAAGCUGUGGGAUUUGGAGUAAUCAUGAAAAGGAAGAACCUUUAAAGGUGAGAGCUGCUGAGAAAAAUCAGACAGCAAGUUUGGAGGAGAUUCAAGUAAAGGUGGAACCUUUAAGGGAGGUAGCUGCUGAAGAAGGUCAGACAGCAAGGUUGGAGGAGAUUCAAGUAAAGGUGGAGCCUUUAAAGGAGGUAGCUGCUGAAGAAGGUCAGACAGCAAGGUUGGAGGUUCAUGAGGCCAAGGGCGUGAUCUAUAGUCUAAGACAAGUGAAGAACGAGUUGUAUCAGCUUGUUGGGAGGCUGAGAGAAGUAGAAUCAGAGUUGAGUAUGGUAAAAACUCAUACAGCAAGUCCGAGUUGGUGUCAAGGAAGGAGGAAGCAAGAUGUGAUCUUUGGCUUUCUUAUGGGAGAGAUAUGUGAGCUGGUUGAACACACGUGUGAUGUGUGGGAGAUAAACAAGAAGCCAGAUAGAUGGAAGAGAGGUACAAGCUGCAAGAAGGGAAAGUUGAGAAAACUUUCUAAGAUGUGGGUCAUGAUGAGCAGAUUAUGGAGAAAGGAUAUCAAGGAGAGUAUGCAAGUAGGAGAAUGCUUGUACUCAGCUUACAUUGGAGAAUCUGUAGAGAGCAGUGGGGUUAUGAGGAAGCUAGAGUCCAAAGGAGCGGAUGAGCCUGUCACAAAGGAGGAAUGGGAUGAGUUUGUCAAGUAUGUGUAUGCUUUGGCUACGACCCGGAGACAAGGUGCUCCUGCCAAAGCAUCCACAUCCAACAAACCCAUCAUUGUUGAUUCUGGAGCAAGUCAUCACAUGAUUAGUGACAGAAGCUUAAUGAGUGAUGUAAAGAAAGCUACUGGAGGUGUGAUGAUAGCUAAUGGUGAUAGGAUUUCAAUAGAAGGAGUUGGAAAGCUCAAGCUAUUUGAUAAAGAUUCAGAUGCCUUCUACAUGCCACAGUUUGCUUCAAAUCUACUAUCUGUGAGAAAAGCCACGAUUGAUCUUGGCUGUCAAGUAGUAUUCAGGCCAGAUGAUGUUGAGUUCCAAGAUUUGAAGACUGGAAAGGUCAUUGGGAGAGGAGACAGCAAGAAUAAUCUAUACCAGCUCCAAUUGGCUAAGAUCUCUAAACCCUUUGAUUCUAUGUGUUUGAGUAGUACUUAUGAGAAGAUUGAUAGUAUUACUUGGCAUGCUAGAUUGGGACAUCCUCAUGCUCGUGCUAUUGAAUUGAUAAUUCCUAAUAUGUCAUUUAAUCACUUGGAGUGUGAAGCAUGCAUAUUAGGAAAGCAUUGUAGGACUGUUUUUCCAACAUCAGAAACUACUUAUGAGCAUUGCUUUGAUCUAGUUCAUUCAGAUGUGUGGACUGCACCUUGUUUGUCUAGAGAUAGCCAGAAGUACUUUGUGACAUUCAUUGAUGAGAAGUCUAAGUAUACUUGGCUUACAUUGCUUCCAUCUAAAGAUAGGGUGCUAGAAGCAUUUAUGAACUUCCAAGCAUAUGUAUCUAAUCAAUACAAUGCUACUGUGAAGGUACUGAGAUCAGAUAAUGGAGGUGAAUACAUCAGCAAUGCCUUCAAGAGUCAUCUAGCCAAGCAUGGGAUUGUGCAUCAGACUAGCUGCCCUUAUACACCACAGCAGAAUGGUGUAGCUGAGAGGAAGAACAGGCAUUUGAUGGAGGUUGCUAGAUCGAUGAUGUUUCAUGCAAAUGUCCCAAAACGUUUUUGGAGUGAUGCUGUGCAGACUGCUUGCUAUCUCAUCAACCGGGUUCCAACCAAGAUAUUGAAGAAUCUGUCUCCAUUUGAAGUGUUGAACAAGAGCAAACCUGUCAUUGAUCACCUACGUGUCUUUGGGUGUGUAUGCUAUGUCAUGGUUCCAGGAGAGCAGAGAAACAAGCUGGAGGCAAAGAGUACUAAGGCUAUGUUCAUUGGUUAUUCUAUCACUCAGAAGGGGUACAAGUGCUAUGAUCCUGAAGCAAGGAGGGUGAUGGUAUCUAGAGAAGUGAAGUUUGUUGAAACAAAAGGUUAUUAUGAAGAAAAGGAGUGGGAAAAUCUGAAGGAUUUGUCUCAAGCUCCAUCUGAUAAGGCAACAAUACUGAGAGUGUUGUUGGAGAAGCUCGGGAUAGGGUUAUCCCAGGAUCAGGAACCCGGAAGGAGAGAGCCUUCCAAUCAGACUGGUGGAGCUGGAAGAACAACUCCUCUUGAUCAUGAGAGGGGGAAUGGAACUGAAUCUGGUGAGCAAGAGCAAAACCAAGAGGAUUCAGGUCUUCAUGAUCAAGAUACAUCACAAGAAGUUGAGAACAAUGUUCAGUCUAGUGGAGAAGUGGAUGAGGUUCAGUCUAGUAGAGAAGUGGAUGAGGUUCAGUCUAGUAGAGAAGAACAAGUUGGACCAGCCGGUUCAGAAGAAGAGCAAGUGGAGCCGGCUAGUGUGCAAACUGAAGAUCAGGUUCAAGCUUUGAGGAGGAGCACAAGGAUAAAGAGGGAUCCUUCCAACUGGGUAAACACGAGAGUGUACUACAAUGCCCAGGCUGUGGAGCAUCCUUCUCAAGCCGUGUGUUCCUUUGCUGAGUUUCCAGAGGAGCAUUAUGCCUUUAUGAUUAGUCUGGAUGAGAGUUAUGUACCAAGGACUUAUGAAGAAGCUAUGUUAGACAAGGAAUGGAAAGAAUCAGUGGGAGCUGAAGCAGGUGCUAUGAUCAAAAAUGAUACAUGGUAUGAGAGUGAGCUGCCUAAGGGAAAGAAGGCUGUAUCUAGUAGAUGGAUCUUCACAAUCAAGUAUCUGGCAAAUGGACAGAUUGAUAGGAAGAAGACCAGAUUGGUUGCAAGAGGAUUUACACAGACCUAUGGAGAGGAUUACAUUGAUACCUUUGCACCAGUAGCUAAGCUGCACACAGUUCGGAUUGUGUUGUCCAUUGCAACAAACUUGGGGUGGGAUUUGUGGCAAAUGGAUGUGAAGAAUGCUUUCCUGCAAGGUGAACUUGAAGAUGAAGUAUACAUGCAUCCGCCUCCUGGUCUUGAGCAUCUAGUAAAGCCAGGGAAUGUUUUGAGGUUGAAGAAGGCAAUAUAUGGGCUGAAACAAUCACCUAGAGCUUGGUACAGGAAGCUGAGUACAACACUCAAUGGGAGAGGGUUUAGGAAGUCUGAAUUAGAUCACACUCUCUUCACCUUGACAGGACCUUCAGGGAUCAUUGUGAUACUGGUAUAUGUGGAUGAUUUGAUUAUCACAGGGAGUGAUAAGGCUGGGAUUAAAGCCACUAAAGAGUUCCUCAAGUCUGUGUUUGAUAUCAAAGACUUGGGAGAGAUGAAGUAUUUCUUGGGGAUUGAGAUAUGCAGAUCCAAGGAGGGUUUGUUUAUGUGUCAAAGGAAGUAUACAAUGGAUAUGCUGAAGGAGACUGAUGUACUUGGAGGAAAGGUAGCCAAGACACCUCUUGAAGAGGGGUAUAAGGUCUUACGUGAGGGGGAGGUUGAAGAGAACCAGCUGUUUGAGGAUGCUAAGCUGUAUAGGAAGAUGGUUGGCAAGCUAAUCUACUUGACCAUUACCAGGCCAGAUAUAUGCUUUGCUGUGAAUCAAGUGAGUCAACAUAUGCAGGCGCCAAAGGUCCAUCACUGGAAGAUGGUUGAUAGGAUACUAAGAUAUCUGAGUGGGACGGCUGGACAAGGAGUUUGGAUGGGCUGUAAUGGCAGUACAGAAGUGGUUGGGUAUUGUGAUGCUGAUUGGGCAGGAGAUAGAGUGGACAGGAGAUCAACUACUGGGUAUUGUACAUUCAUUGGAGGGAACUUGGUUACUUGGAAGAGUAAGAAGCAGAAGGUUAUCUCUUGUUCAAGUGCUGAAGCUGAGUAUAGAGCCAUGUUGAAGCUGUUGAGUUGAGCUGAGUAUAUGUAUGAAGAGCUAAGGAGUUGAAGAGGAAAGGAGAUGAGGAAGCUUAGGGAGUUUAGGGAGAGCAUGGUACGGACGUCCGUACAAGGCCGUACAAGCCGUACAGUCCGUACCAUCCAAGCCUCAACCUAAACUUACCUUGCACAAGUGAAACGGUAACUAUGGAAGAGUUACUCAAGUGGAAAAGGAUCAGACCGUUUAAGAGAUAAGGGACGCGCAUUGCCAGGCUGUGACAGGCUGGAAAGCUAAAGCAACUUUAGUCCAAGAUGCCAUAAGCGUGUGAUGCCUCUUAGUGGUUAAUUUGAAUCCUUUACCUUGACUUCACAUGCUUACUCCUUAAACUUGCGAUUUGUAAACCCUAGUAGCUCUCCUAUAUAUUGUAACUCAUCAACACUAAUAAAGAUUAUGCAGUUUGAGUCUCUCUAAUCUCUUAGACACUAUGGUUCUCUCUUAGACUCUAAACGGUUCUUUCUAGUCUCUUAAUCUUUCACAAACUUCUCUUAAUUACUUCUUAAACACUCUCUUUAUUCUGAUUACUCUAAGGAUCUCUUAAUCUCAUAUGGUAUCAGAGCCAGGUUCAUUUGAAUCUGGGGUUUUAUCUUUAGAGAGUCACAAGCUAACGGCUUUGAAGCUACACACGAGUAGUCUUGAAGGUGUUGAAGCCGUGAUAAGUUUGAGUUGAAGCUGUGCUACGUUCUGUGUGUUUGCGUGAUUCUAGACUCAAGGUUGGUGUGUACGAGAUUCAAGAUUCAAGUGUUCAAGUCAAGCAAAGAUGGAACAUGGGAUGAACAUGAGGAUGAAGGUAGCGGUUACUUUCAAAGGUAGCAACUACCUGGUGUGGUCUCGGAUGGUGAAGACUGCGGUGGGAAGUAAGGGUUUGUGGGGGCACAUCACAACAGGGGAGGCUCUGAAACUCAUUACUCAGGGAGGAGAUCAAGAAGAGGUCUCCAAUGACGCGGCUGUGGAGAAAUGGCAACAAGAAGACAUGCUGGUGAUGACGGUUCUACACGCAUCCUUGGACCCAGCUAUCUUGGAUGCCUACAGCUACUGUGAAUCAGCCAAGGAGCUGUGGGACACGCUGAAGAAGGUGUAUGGGAACACUUCCAACCUCAGCCGUGUGUUUGAAGUGAAGCUAGCGAUCAACCGUCUUGCACAAGAGGACAUGGAGUUCACUAAGCACUUGGGGAGGUUCAGGUCCUUAUGGUCAGAGCUGGAGAUGCUGAGGCCGAGCACAACUGAUCCAGAUCAGUUGAAUGAGAGGCGCGAGCAAGACAAGGUCUUUGGGUUGCUUCUCACACUGAACCCGGCCUACACUCAACUCAUCCAGCACAUGCUAAGGUCAGACAAGCUUCCGGACCUUGAGGAGGUGUGCGCGCAAAUCCAAAGGGAGCAGGGAUCUAUGGGGUUGUUUGGAGGAAAGGGGGAGCUCUCUCUCGCCAAUCAAGCAGCUCAUGAGGACUCAACCGAGACUCCACAAGCAAACAAGGCAUCUCACGGGAAGUAUGAGGACAGGAAGUUCAAUGGCAACUGUGAUCAUUGCAAGAAGCAUGGUCAUAAGAAGAGCCAAUGCUGGAUACUACACCCACACCUCAAGCCGGCCAAGUUCAUGAAGGAGCGUGAGGGAAGGGCAAAUGUGACUGAAGGUUCAAGUGGAGCUGGCACCAGCAAGGCGAGUGAAGCAGAUGGGCUUGGAGGCAAUGAUGGGAAUGGGAAGUCUAUGGUGGCUUACACAGGCGCCUCAAGCUCACGCAGCAAUGAUGACUACAUCAAGAGAUCAGACCUUGACGCUCUCUUCAAAAUGCUAAAGGAAAACGGUAACACUUAUGGUUAUUCCUUUGGAGCUUCUAUGAUUGCAUAUAAGGAUGAUCACUUGAUUAGAGAACUAGUAGAACGGUUAGAAGCUAGGAAUGAGUAUAGAAAUGCUCACAUUGCUAGAACUGAUAGGAUGCAUCCAUUGCUUAGUAAUCUAUGUCAUAAUGCUAAACGAGUAGGUAAACCAUUGAUUGUUGAUUCUGGUGCAUCACAUCAUAUGAUAAGUGAUGAGAACUUGAUUAAGGAUAUAGAACCUACGCAUGGGCAUGUGAUGAUAGCAAAUGGGGAUAAGAUACCUAUUAGAGGAAUAGGAAAGCUGAAGUUGUUUAACAAAGAAUCUAAAGCUUUUUACAUGCCUGAAUUCACAUCAAACCUAUUAUCUGUGAAGAAAUGUACUAAUGAUUUACAAUGCAAUGUUAUCUUUAGUCCUAAUGAUGUGAAGUUUCAGGAUAUUGAGAGCAGCAGAUUGAUUGGGAAAGGGGUGACUAAGGGAGAUCUCUAUAUGCUUGAAGAACUCACUUCUGUUCCUGAUUAUAGUUGCUCGUUUACUUCUGCUUCUUUGUUGAAUAAAAAUGCAUUGUGGCAUGCUAGAGUAGGACACCCUCAUGUUAAAGCUUUGAACUUAAUGGUACCAGGUGUUGUGUCUGAGAACAAAGAUUGUGAAGCUUGUAUUUUAGGCAAGCAUUGUAGAACUGUGUUUCAAAAGUCUACCACUGUUUAUGAUAAUUGCUUUGAUCUAAUUCAUUCAGAUGUGUGGACUGCUCCUUGCUUAUCUAGAGAUAGUUAUAAGUACUUUGUCACAUUCAUUGAUGAAAAAUCCAAAUACACCUGGUUAACCUUAAUUCAGACCAAAGAUAGGGUACUUGAUGCAUUUAGGAACUUUCAAACUUAUGUAACUAACCAUUAUCAUGCUAAGAUCAAAAUUUUGAGAUCAGAUAAUGGAGGAGAGAGUACACAAGUCAUGCAUUCAAGCAACACUUAUCACAGCAUGGGAUCCUACAUCAAACAAGCUGUCCGUAUACUCCACAGCAGAAUGGAGUGGCUGAGAGGAAGAAUAGGCAUCUCAUGGAAGUGGCAAGGUCUCUUAUGUUUCAGAGUAAUGUUCCAAAGAGAUUUUGGAGUGAUGCGGUUGCCACUGCUUGUUACUUGAUCAACAGAACUCCAACCAAGGUUCUGAAUGAGAAGGCUCCAUUUGAAGUUCUGGACAGGUACAAACCAGCUCUUGAUUACUUGCGAGUCUUUGGGUGCCUAUGCUUUGUGCUCAAACCAGGAGAGAUGAUCAACAAGCUAGAAGCAAGAAGUACUAAGGCUGUGUUCAUAGGAUACUCAGCUACACAGAAAGGAUACAAAUGCUAUGAUCCUAUAGCAAGGAGAGUUCUUGUAUCUAGAGAUGUGAAGUUCUUGGAAGAUAGAGGAUACUAUGAAGAAAAGAAUCAAGAAGACCUGAAGGACUUAACAUCAGACAAGGCAACCACCUUGCGGAUCAUCCUUGAAGGUCUUGGAAUCAGUACAUCCCAGGAUCCAAGGAAUCACGCAACUACACCUCCUGAAGUUGGUUCACCAUCCCACCUUGAUCAUGAGGGAGGAGAGGAGCAUGAGGAACCUAUGCAAGAGGCUAACCAGGAUGAAGGAGGAGUAGAGAAUGAAGGAGAAAAGAGCAUAGGCUCUGAUGGUCAUGGUCAUGAUCAUGGUGUGAGGCAAACACCUUCUCAAGAUGAAGUGGUAGAAGAACAACAGGAAGAAGAACCGGUUGUGCAGCCACUAAGAAGGAGCACAAGGAUAAGGAAGGAUCCUUCUAGCUGGGUAAACACGAGAGUGUACUACAAUGCCCAAGCUGUGGAGCAUCCUUCUCAAGCCGUGUGCUCCUUUGCUCAAUAUCCAGAAGAACAUUGUGCCUUCAUGGUUAACUUGGAUGAGAACUACAUCCCAAGAAGCUAUAAAGAAGCAAUCAUGGAUAAAGAAUGGAAGGAAUCAGUUGGAGCUGAGGCAGGAGCUUUGAUCAAGAAUAAUACAUGGUAUGAGAGUGAGUUACCAAAAGGAAAGAAGGCUGUGACCAGUAGAUGGAUAUUCACAAUCAAGUACAAAGCGGAUGGAAAGAUUGAGAGGAAGAAGUCAAGGCUAGUUGCAAGAGGUUUCACUCAAACUUAUGGAGAAGAUUACAUAGAAACCUUUGCACCAGUAGCUAAACUACACACAAUCCGGAUUGUACUAAGCUUGGCUGUGAAUCUUGGAUGGGGGUUAUGGCAAAUGGAUGUGAAGAAUGCUUUUCUACAAGGUGAACUUGAGGAUGAAGUGUAUAUGCAUCCACCUCCAGGCCUUGAACACUUAGUGAAGAGUGGGAAUGUGUUGAGACUGAAGAAAGCCAUCUAUGGGCUGAAGCAAUCACCAAGAGCUUGGUACAACAAGCUGAGCACUACUCUGAAUGGUCGAGGCUUCAAGAAGUCUGAACUAGAUCACACUCUCUUCACUCUCACGACUCCCUCAGGUAUGAUUGCACUCCUUGUGUAUGUUGAUGAUAUCAUUAUCACAGGGAGUGAUAAGGAAUGUAUCAUAGCAACCAAGGAGUUUCUUAAAUCCAUGUUUGAGAUUAAAGACUUGGGAGAAAUGAAAUACUUCCUUGGAAUUGAGAUAUGUAGAUACAAGGAGGUUUGUUCAUGUCUCAAAGGAAAUAUACACUUGAUCUUUUGAAAGGUGCAGGUGCUUAUGGAGGCAAGACAGCAAGGAUGCGUAUGGAGGAUGGCUACAAAGUCCCACGAGAGGGGGAGAUUGAAGACAGCAAACCUUAUCAGGAUCCUAAACUCUAUAGAAAACUAGUUGGCAAAUUGAUUUACCUUACUAUACCUGACAUCUGUUUUGCUGUGAAUCAGGUGAGUCAACACAUGGAAGUGCCUAAGGAGCAUCACUGGCGCAUGGUGGAGAGGAUCUUGAUGUAUCUCAACGGCUCACCUGAUCAAGGAGUAUGGAUGGGCUGCAAUGGAAGCACUGAAGUGGUGGGAUAUUGUGAUGCGGAUUGGGCUGGUGAUAGAGCAGACAGGAGAUCAACCACAGGCUGUUGCACAUUCAUUGGAGGCAACUUGGUGACUUGGAAGAGAAAGAAGCAGAAGGUAGUGUCAUGUUCAAGUGCAGAAGCCGAGUAUAGAGGCAUGCUGAAGCUUACCAACGAGUUGGUAUGGAUCAAAGGCAUCUUGAAGCACUUGGAGAUUGAUCAAGCAACUCCAAUGACAAUGCAUUGUGACAAUCAAGCUGCCAUCCACAUUGCAUCCAACUCGGUGUUUCAUGAGAGGACCAAGCACAUUGAAGUUGAUUGCCACAAGGUGAGACAGAUGAUUGUGCUAGGGGUGAUCUUGCCAUGCUAUACAAGGAGUGAAGAUCAGCUAGCGGAUGUGUUCACCAAGGCUGCAAGGCAAAAGACUAUGGAGUCCAUUCACAUCAGAUUGGGACUCAUAGAUCUUGGGAAGAGAAGGAGCUAAUCCCCUUAGCUGCAAGGUCUUUACUCUUUUUCCCUCAUCAAAGUUUUAUCCCAUUGGGUUUUCUUUGGUGAGUUUUUUAAUGAGGAAGAUCUUGUAGCUUUCCAAGCUUAGGCUUUCACAAAGCUAAGCUUGAGGGGGAGUGUUGAGUUGAGCUGAGUAUAUGUAUGAAGAGCUAAGGAGUUGAAGAGGAAAGGAGAUGAGGAAGCUUAGGGAGUUUAGGGAGAGCAUGGUACGGACGUCCGUACAAGGCCGUACAAGCCGUACAGUCCGUACCAUCCAAGCCUCAACCUAAACUUACCUUGCACAAGUGAAACGGUAACUAUGGAAGAGUAACUCAAGUGGAAAAGGAUCAGACCGUUUAAGAGAUAAGGGACGCGCAUUGCCAGGCUGGGACAGGCUGGAAAGCUAAAGCAACUUUAGUCCAAGAUGCCAUAAGCGUGUGAUGCCUCUUAGUGGUUAAUUUGAAUCCUUUACCUUGACUUCACAUGCUUACUCCUUAAACUUGCGAUUUGUAAACCCUAGUAGCUCUCCUAUAUAUUGUAACUCAUCAACACUAAUAAAGAUUAUGCAGUUUGAGUCUCUCUAAUCUCUUAGACACUAUGGUUCUCUCUUAGACUCUAAACGGUUCUUUCUAGUCUCUUAAUCUUUCACAAACUUCUCUUAAUUACUUCUUAAACACUCUCUUUAUUCUGAUUACUCUAAGGAUCUCUUAAUCUCAUAGAAGCUCACAAACGAGUUGGUGUGGAUCAAAGGGAUCUUGAAGCAUCUAGCGAUUGAGCAGAGUACUCCUAUGACUAUGCAUUGUGACAAUCAAGCAGCUAUCCACAUUGCCUCCAACUCAGUGUUUCAUGAGAGAACAAAGCACAUAGAGGUGGAUUGUCAUAAGGUGAGGCAGAUGAUUAUCUUGGGAGUGAUUCUGCCAUGUUAUACAAGAAGUGAAGAUCAGCUUGCAGAUGUGUUUACCAAGGCAGCGAGAUUGAAGACAAUGGAGUCCAUACUAUCCAGGCUUGGACUCAUUGAUCUUACUCCCAGGAGCUGAGCCCCUUAACCAUGGAGUCUCCACUCUUUUUCCCUCAUCAAAGUUUUAUCCCAAUGGGUUUUCUUUGGUGAGGUUUUUAAUGAGGGAGGUCUUCAUGGUUUCCAAGCUUGACUUGUUCCACAUGGUCAAGCUUGAGGGGGAGUGUUGAGAAGAGGUGAUAAAGAGUGGGUACAUUGAUAGAGGAAGAGAAAUGGGGCAGUCAGUAACUUUGGAGAUUUACCACAGGAACUUUAGUUUUACUGUGGUAACUAAGGUAUAACUUUGGGAAGUUACCUUUCACCCAUUUGGAGAGUGAAGCACGUCCAAGGAGAGUCUGGAUAAGGAAGGAGCAAUCUGGAUAAGGAAGAAGCAUUCUGGAUAAGGUCUGGUCAUAGCUGGAAAGGUAAAACACCUUUACAGCCUGUCCAAGCAUGUGAGAACACCCAUUGGCUGCUUUUGGAUGGCUCUCCUUGACUCCACACGUUCCUGAUCUCCUCUGACCCUAUGAUUUCGAAUUGUAUCUUGUAUCACUCAUAUAAAGCCUUGUAAACCUUAUUGUUAAUAAUUAAUGGAGUUUUGAGUAUUCUCUCUUGUUCUUUAUUCUCUUAGUCUCUCUUAAUCUCCUAAUCUCAUACAAACUACACAAACCAUCUCUUGAUAUUCAUUCAUCACUCUACAUACACAAAAGUGUAUAGUGGUAACUCUCCAAAGUUACUGUGGUAACUUUGGAGUUACUGUCUCAACCAAAUAUUCUCCAAAUGGUGUCUAAGUCCCUCCUGGACUUAAACCCAAUCUUGCACAGCCAUAAGAUCACUUCUUGACUUCUUAAGACCCUCCUGAACCUUGACAGACAAUCUCUGUAAGACUUGCCCUCUCUUUGCACUAGAACCAAACUACUCCAUACUUCUCCUUUCACUCCAUUUCUAUUCUUCAAGUUAACAUUCUAGAGCUUGCCCUAUCAUUGUACAAGCUCCAUCUUCUCUUCAGUUCAACACUCCCCCUCAAGCUUGACUUUAGGAGAUCCUAAGCCAAGCUUGGAACUCUGAAGAGUCUCCCUCAUUAAAAACCUUACAAGGAAAACCCAUUGGGACAAAACCUUGCAAGGGAAAAAGAGUAGAGCUCUCCAAAGCCUAGGGAUUGGCCAGUGAGCUCUUGUGCCUUAGAACCGGUGUGGUUGGACACAAGAAGCUCUGGAUCACGGCCUAAUAGGUGCAGCAACUCUUCACAGCUUUGCGCACACUUCACACUUCAGCUUCACCUCUUCAUGGAACCGGUUCGAAGUCUCCCCCUCUCAACUGACUUCUCAGCCAUCUUAGAGAAGCUAGGACACGACCAGAUCAUCUUCAAAACACCAGUGAGGCUGAUCAACACUUCACACACGACUUGCCCUCUCCAUAGAACUGGUUUGACUCUCCCCCUCUCAACAGACUUCACAGCCACCUUAGAGAAGCUAGGAAAUGACCAGGAACACCUUUAGUGAGGCUCAAGCAAUGGUACCUGAUACAUUAUCCCAAAGGUGCAUCAGUACCUAUCAAAAACAAGAAAAUGAAUAUCCUGCAUCACACUUGAUGCACA
Molecule: long non-coding RNA, 51631 nt
Filed under: Brassica rapa (field mustard)
Lineage: Eukaryota; Viridiplantae; Streptophyta; Magnoliopsida; Brassicales; Brassicaceae
Description: long non-coding RNA (BRAP_LNC008686)
Source: RNAcentral